This 49456-nucleotide long non-coding RNA is filed under the name Ananas comosus (pineapple). RNAcentral describes it as "long non-coding RNA (ACOM_LNC001457)". Lineage: Eukaryota; Viridiplantae; Streptophyta; Magnoliopsida; Poales; Bromeliaceae. The record is from RNAcentral.
UAGGGGGCGUUUGGAUUGACGAAUUUGUAGAUCCAAAAUAAGUAAGUGCAGUGGUGUUUGAGUUUUCCUGAAGUGUGAUUAUUUUUCUGUUGUUUGUUUUGAUGUAACUCGUACAGUCUGAAAGUUAAAUUCAAUUACUUCUUCUGUUUGUUUUGAUAUAAUUUGGUGCCGAUAAAAUUAGUUUUUUUAGUUCCGUUGUUUGUUUUGAUGUAAAUAAGUAGAUCCUGUUAUCUCCUAAAUAUAGUGAUAAAUUUAUCACUAUAAAUUAUAACCUAUUAUAUAAUUAAAUUUUUUAUUAUUAUUUAAAAGUAAUUCUAAUUUAUUAUAAAUAAGAUAAUUCUAAUCCAUUAUAAAGGAAGUAGAGUUUAGGUUUUACUAUUUAAUAAAUUUUUUAGAGGAGGUUGAGUAUGGUAGAAGUAGAGUUCGGCACCUUAGAGGAGGAAGUCGAGAGUAGGUGAAGUGGAGGUCUAACGUAAUUUGAAUUAUAUUAUAUUUUUGACUUACACCAAAGCAUAUAACGAAAGUGAUGGAACUUGAGUUCUAUCACUCCACUUACACCAAAACAAAAGGACCAUUAGUUGAGGUUUUUUGUUAGGGUGAUACUUUGAACCUCUAAAAAAUAUUAUCCUUAUAAGUCACUGUGGUUUUAACCAUCACAAAAAUAUUUUUGAAGUGACUUCUUUUACCAAAAGGGUACAUCACUUUUUACAUGUGUAAAGAGAAUCAUUAGCUCCAAAGAAACUACCAAAAGGAGAAGUUGAUGAAAUUAUGAACUCUCUUGGUCAAACAUAAACAAUGAGAAUCUCCACAGCACCCCCACUAGUCUUUAACAAUUUGAGAGAGAGAGAGAGAGAGAGAGAGAGAGAGAGAGAGAGAGAGAGAGGGAAAAUUGAUGAAAUUAUGAACUCUUACUUUUGGUCAAUCAUAAACAUUGAGAGAGAGAGAGAGAGAGAGAGAGAGAGAGAGAGAGAGAGAAAGAGAGAGAUUACCCUAACAAUCAUAGGCAAACUAGUCCUUCACAAAAUGAGAGAGAGAGAGAGAGAGAGAGAGAGAGAGAGAGAGAGUACUAUUACACUAAGAAUCAUGGGCCAAGCAUGCCAAUGCAUGCUACUUCAUAAUUCCUCUCCUUUUGGUCACCACUAAACUUUGUUGGAUUGGAUUAUUGGACAAAGUGCAUGGUGCAAUUUUCAUUUGAUCCCCUAUAUAUAAGCCCUUUCAAAUUUGAAUCAUAUGAACCCUCCCCACCUCAAAAGUUCUCAAUUAUCCAACAUUGAGGGCCCUAGCUAGUUGAUCUUUAGGAUGGAACAACAAAUACAUGCUUGAUUUGAGCUUCAAUCAAGGCCAAUAAUAUCGGCAUCGACGGUUUCGAUUUGAUCAUCAUUAAUAGGCCCCAAAAUCUCUCCUUGGAUGCUCCUAGCAAUUUCUUUUUCCUUGUUACAUAUUAUGAUGGGGACCUCAUAUGAGUAAAUAUCAUAGGCCUAAUAGUAUGUAGUAGACAAGGGUUAUGGGCAAGGACACAAGCAUGCCAAAGAUAACCCUGCAAAAAGUACAAUAAGAGAGUCAAAGAGUAGAAAAUAGCUAGAAAUAUUACACAAGAUUAAAAAAAAAAAAAAAGUUGUAGUUGUGUUGUUUGGUUGUAUUAUUUGAACAAGCUCACAAAAUUUGUGAUGGGUCCAUUUUCAUGAAAAGAAACAAAUUAAGUACUGAACACAAUAGCUUUUGGUCCAUCUCAGUUUGUUUCUUUGUUUGCAAGUGUUUUCUUCUUUUUCUUUUUAAGAGCGUUUCUAUAUUAGAAAAUAUAUUUAUAAGAACGCUACAUAAUUAGAGCAAUCUUAGGGCAGUCGAGGUAUGAGUCGUCAGAUAAACGAUCAGCCUUGUUUUAAAUUUCAUCAGGAGUGUUGUUUGAAAACUCAUACUCUCGUUCUAUUAUAGGGAUUUGUCCCGCAGUUUCUGCAAAGUAAUCGAUUUCUCUAAAAGCCGAUAUUACAAAAUAAUAAAUUCAAUAUUUAUACUCUCUUUCUAUCCGGGUGUCUGUUUGUAUAAUUUCAUUUAUCCGAGUAUGCUUGUGUCGAACGAUUAUAAAGUAAAUUGUGAGAUUUAUACAUAUUAAGCUUCCAAUUUAUGAUGAUAUAUAUGCAGGAAAUCACUCUGUAGUUUACAGUAAAAUUUUUUUUAAAAAAAAAAGAUAAAGAAAAAACAAUCUUAUUCUUAAUGAAAUCAUAUAUACCCAGCGCUAAGAAUAUCAGGAUGUAGCCCAUACUCUCUUGCAAACACAAAUGGAACAAUCCCUUGUGGAAGAGCAGCCUACAAAAAUUAAUUUCAACAAUAAAUGCAUGUCACCUUUAAUUUCAUUUUCCAAACUAAAAAACUUAAUUAUAAGAAAAUAAACUCAAUCAAAAACAUAUAACUAACCUGGACAAUUGCAGUGUGGAGUUUAACCCCUUUUAAUCCCACAGCUAAUGAUGCAGCACACAUUAUUAUCGGCCCGCAAAUAAACCGAAUAAACAUGCUUAUUAUCGCCAUUUUUGCGCCGCACGCAAUGAUCCUUUGUUGAAGAGCCAUGAAUAAACCUGGAUGUAGAUCAAAAUGGUUUUAGUGUAUCUAAUCAAGUUUUUUUUUUCUUUUUUUUAACAUAUGAUAUUAGGGUAUUUUGAAAUAGUAAACAUAAUUAAUGUGCACAAUAUGUAUACAUGCACUUAAUUACCUAAACUAAACAUGGCCAUUCCAAGUCCUGCAUCUGAGAUGAUAGUAAUUGAGUUUUUGAUUAUAUCUGGCAUGGUUAACUCCCACCUACAAAAUUUGGAACAAGUUCAUUAUUUAGCAACUAACAAAAUAUAUAGCUUUUAUUUUUAAUAUUACAUGAAUCAAAAGAUUAUAGAAAUAAAUAUGACGCAUGUAUAUAACUAUUGGAGGUACGAGUGAAAACUUAAUCUCUUAGAGAACGGUCUUUCAAUAAUCUAUAUUCGAAACUUUGCUUCUGAAUUUGAGACUUUUUGAUUGAUUAGACGUGUUGAUUAAUAUAUAUCAUGCGAACUAACCUGAAUGAGAUUAGGGACCAAAGUAGGCCAAGUAUGCUCGAAUACGUAUUAGGGUUUCGAGAGAGUUUGCGUCCGACUACGACGAGUAUGAGCCUUAACAUGACAAGCGGAUGCGGCAUCGCCUGAUCAUUCGCUUCUUCGUCCAUCUCAUACGCAUCUACGAACUUCGUAGUGCUUCUGAAGCUGAGCUCUUUCUCCUCUAUAAAACGAAAUCAAAGAAAACUAAUUGAUUUGUAUUGAAAAGCAAAAUAUGUACCUUGUGAUGCAGUAAUAUAUAUAGAACUUUAGUUUCUGUUUCGAUCAAAUUAUUCGUAACAUAAAAAUUGAAUUACCUACAUAGAUGAUGUGAUAUUAAUGCUAUAAUAGAUCUUCUUCAAUCACAUCAUCUUUAAAAAAUGACAUGAUAAUUUAUCCUGGCGCUUCAACAAAAUUUGACAUGAUAAUUUAAUUCAAACAAAAAGUAAACCUUAACCAAAAAAAACGAAAAAAAAAACAAAAACAAAAACAAAAAUUUCUUAGAGACCAAAAAACUAGCAAAUGGGCAAAUCCGACCAAGGAACACUAGAAAACAAAACAAAAACUGUGAAACGAGUUCUUUUCAUUUUAGCUCCAUCAAUUACUACAAAUCCCACAACAAUUAAAUAAAAUAAAACAAGGGAAACAAACAAAAUAAAACAUGGGUACAACGUACCAAUGGUCUCUGUAGUUGUACUAUUCUAAUAUUAUAAAUUGGUACUAUUUUAGCUCGUAAACUUUAUUAUAAUAUUAUAUUCUAGUCCCUAGCUAAUACUAAGGAAAAAAAAUUAAAUUUUUAGUGUCAUUUCUUUAAGAAAAAUUAAUUUUGCAUGAGAUUAGUGACAAAAAUAUGAUAACAUGUAAAAACUUAAAAAUAAAAUUAUUUUUUUCGCAAUAUAAAAAUAGUACAAAUACUAUUCAUAUCUGUACUUUAAUGUUAAGAAAUUAUUUUAGCAAACUAUUUGUUAAAUAUAAUGCACGAAUCUUAAAAUAGUGAUGAGCGUACCACUCACUUCUCUGCCGCGCACUUUCUCAGCACCACCACUAGCCGGCGCUGCUGGCGAUCUUACCUCCACGUCGGUGAAGCUCGACGCCCGCGGCGUCGGCUGCAGUGAGUAUGCGUCGGACGAUGACGACGCGCACGACGCCCGCGCGAAGAUCGUGAUCUCCCCCAAUGUGAACGUGUGCCGGUUAGGUGUGCUCGACGAGUAUAUCUCGGCGCCCGACAUGCUCGACAUGCGCGGCGUCGGCGUCGAUACGGCCGACGAGCCCGGGGCCGAGGAGGCGGCCGACCGGCGGAUCCGAAUCCGGACCAUGCCGUCUGCGUCGGCCUCCGACGUCUCGGCGUAGAGAGGGUCACGCCCGUCGAGGGAGAUGACGUCGCCGUCGACGUCGAUUUUCGCGAUGGCCGACGCGGCGGCGCCCGGGAACCGCUCCCGGAUCAGCAGCGCCGCCGCACGGUACUCAAAGAGAAAGAGGAGUAGAGUGUACCUAAAAUUAAAUAAUAAUAAUAAUAAUAAUAAUAAUAAUAAUAAUUCAGUAUUUUAAAAUUUACAGACUAAAUUUCGACGGUAGAAAAAGAUUGUGUCUAAAAAUAUAUAUAUAAAAAUACUGUUUAAUUUCUAAUUAAUAUUUCACCUUAACCUUUAAUUUUAAAUUUAUAAUAUAAAAAAUACUAAGUUUUAUUCUAAAAAAUACAAAGUUUCAACAGAUACAAUAUAAUACAAUAUCUGCAUUAUUAAUACGAAUCUCGUAAUUAAUCGUUGACGCUAAAUGUGGAAGAGAUAAACACGUGUAAUGCUUACGGAUCUCAAUUGUGACUCGACCUAUUAUACAUAGUAUUUUUACUUAAAAGAAGCAUUACAAAAAUUUAUACUAGAAGAGAUGGUUAUAUACCAAACAAUGCACUGGAGAACGACGAGCUGCACCAUGAGAGGCUGGGUGAAGUCCCCAUACAUGGCUCUGAGGAGGGGGAUCCCCAUCACCAGCGUAUUCGGCAGCGUCGCGACGGAGAACACGGUGAUGGGCCAGUCGAGCCGCUGCGCCCCGCGGCGCUGGCGGGGGGAGAAGAAGGCGGACGCCAACGAGACGGCGGUGACGAGAGCGAGCGCGAGGAGCUUGGCGAGGGUGUCGGCGAGGAGGAAGCGCAGGUCCAUGCGGUAGGGGUCGUUGUGGGCGAUGAAGUGGAAGGAGAGGACGGGGACGGCGAACGCCGCGACGAAGCGGUUGAUGCCCGAGCACUGCACCGGGGUGAAGGUGCGCCACCACCGCACCGCGGCGUAGGCGAGGAGCAUGGCCGUGUACAGCGGCGCCGUGGCGCACAGCACCGUGUACAAGUCCCCUAGAGUGAUCAUGUUCUCGUGUGCUGUACACGUAAUAGUGUGUGUUAAGGGCCGAGCGGGUUGUAUAUAUAGGGAAUAUAUAUAAUAUAUAGUGUAGAGCUACUAUACUAUUGAAAGUAUAGAUAAUAUGAUACUUUCAACUUUUUAACUAUUGGAUCAAAAAUUAUGCAGUUAAAUGAUUACGGUACCCCCAGGGUUGAGUAGUAACCCUAGGGUUGAGUGGUCCUCACAGGUUAAUUGUAUUAAUCCAAAUAUUAGAAAUGAUUAAAGGGGUUGAUCUAAAGGCCAAAAAAUCGGAAGUACCAGAUCCUCUAUGCUUCCGAUAGCAUAGUAGCUAUACUCUAAUAUAUAUAUAUAUAUAUAUAUAUAUAUAUAUAUAUAUAUAUAUAUAUAAAUAAAAUUAGGCUGGAAUACUAUUAAUAGUAAAACGCUCUUUUUGCUAUCAAGUUUUUAACCCUUGGAUGAAAAAUUGUAGAGUCAGGAUGAUAUUAGUUGGUUAGAGUUGAGUGGUCCCCUAGGGUUGAGUGGUCCUCACUGGGUUAUAAUAUUUAAUCCAAUGGAUAGAAAUAAUAAAAAGAGUUGAUCCAAAGGCUAAAAAACUGGUAGCAAUAUCUGGAAAUUUUGCUACUAAUAGUAGCCCAGUCCAACUAUAUAUAUAUAUAUAUAUAUAUAUUAUAUAAUAGUCCGGCUAUGGUGCUUGUAAAAGUAUCAAGCACUUGGUGCUUGUAAAUUUUUACCGUUAGAUCUCUGCCUUUGAUUAUUUUUACCCGUUAGAUUAUACUAUUCAACCAACCACCUACUCAACCCUAGGGGCCACAUCAUCCUAACCGCACAUCCUUUAAUUCAAGGGCUAAAAUUUACAAUACGAAUGACUUGAUACUUUUAAAAGCAUAGGAACUCAAUUAUAUAUUAUAUAUAUAUAUAAUAUAUAUAUAUAAGAGAGAGAGAGAGAAGAGAGAGAGAGAAGAGAGAGACUAGGCUACUAUACUAUCGGUAGACGGAGCGUUCCGUGCUACCAAGUUGUCUUCGAUGAUGCAGCUUCCAAAUCGACGAUCAGCUCCGUUAGACUUAUCUACACUAUUAAAAGUAUUUAGAAACUAAAUUUCAUAAUUUUUCGAUACCAUUUACCUAUCAAACAAGUAGUUCUACAAUUGAACGGCUAAAAUAAAAAUCUCAUAAAAAUGAUGAUAAAAGAUUAAAUUCAAGAUCAGAUAUACUGAUCUACUCUAAAUAGUUAAAAGAAUUUUUAAUAAAAUUUUCAUCGAUUUGGAUUGUUUUACACCGUUAAACUCACAAACACCACAUCGGCCAUUAAAAUUGUCAAUUUUGAAAUCUUUUGAUCACUAGUUAAAUAAAGUCGAAAAAAUCUGAAAUUUAGUUUUCAAAUACUUUCAAUAGUGUAGAUCAAGUCUAACGGAGCCGAUCGUCGAUUUGGAAGCCGCAUCAUCGAAAACAACUUGGUAGCACGGAGCGUUCCGUGCUACCGAUAGUAUAGUAGCCGGACUCUAUAUAUAUAUAUAUAUAUAUAUAUAUAUAUAUAUCUGAGUAGGCUACUAAAUUUUUAUGAAUAUAGAACCCUUCGUAUUCGUAAGUUAUUUUUAAUGAUGAAGUUUUCGAAUCGAUAAUUUACACCGUCAAAUAAGAUCUAGAGUAUUUAAAACUUCUAGACAAUAAAUUUUGUAAAUUUUCGAAUUUAUAAUAGUUUCCAUUAAGCAGGCAUAAAAUGAAUGGUUAAAAUCGAACGAUGCCUUAAAAUGGAUGACCGGAUACUUUAAUUUAUGAUCGGAGUUAUUAAUCUUUAUCUAGAUAGUGAAUAGAAUUUUCUAUCAAAAAUUCAACCGAUUUUGAUUUUUUUACACCGUUAAACUAGCAAAUUAAUAUUCUAUACCGAUCGUUAAAAAUGAUCAAUUUUAAGAUCUUUUGAUCGUAAGGUAAAUGAUAUCAAAAAAAUUAUGAAAUUUAAUUUCUACAAGUUUUAAAUGCUCUAGAUAAUAUUUAAUAGUAUGGAUCAUCGAUUUGGAAGCUCUCUAUCACCGAAAAUAACUUAUGAAUUCGAAAGUGAUUGUACUCAUAAAAGUAUAAUAGCCGGACUUUAUAUAUCUACUUGAACAAGGAGGAGUUCAAUGCAAAGAGUUUAAGAUUUGGACAAAAAAUGAUUCAUACGGUUCAUCAAAUUGUCUUAACGAGAUCUCGUUGAGAAGCUCUUAAAUAAAAUUCUAAAAAUGUACUUUAGACAUAGAAAUUAUUGUGUGGACCGAGUGCACCGCGCCGCCCACUAGAAAAAAAUUAAUUUUGUGACAGAUAUUCCACAUAUGCAAAUUAAUAAUAACUUCCAACUGGACAUUUCAAUAUUCCACAUAUACAAAAAAUUUUAUGUACUUCACCGAGAUUUUUUGAAUAUUCACUUUAGUUUCUUUUAAUUUUAACUUUGUCACUGAUUUAACGAAAAAAAUUAAUAGAAUUGAUAAUAAAAAGAUAAAAAUAAAACCGCAGGAUACUAAAUUAGUACACUUUAAAUCAUAUGGUACUAAAAUGAGAAAGUAUAAAAUCACAUGGAUGGUAUUUGAAGUUUUUCUAAAAAAAUAAAAAAUCCAAACUGGUCUCUUUCAACCUAAUGUAAAAUUUUCAUACCAAAUAAGUUAUUGAUUUUUUAUAAUUUAUUGCUGCAUACAUUUUUUUGAAUUUUUCCAAACAUAAAAGUGAAUGUGUUCGAAGAACGCAAUUGGUGUAUUUGUUUCGCUGAAAUCGAAGAGGGGUAAAAAAAUUUUCAGUCGUAAAUAUCCACUUUCAUUAUUUGGUGUACUGUAACUUUAUCUUCGGUCGAAACUCAAACUCUUGAAAAUACUGUAAUCUACUUAGGCCCAUCCAAAGCCUAAGUUAAUUACACAAAUAAUAAUAAUAAUAAUAAUAAUAUAUAAUAUAUUAACUUAUCUCUUAUAUCUACAUAUUUUAUGUCAUUCACUGUCGGCAAAAACAAAUAGCAAAACUGGAGCAACUUCAGUUACACAGAUAUGCAAACAAAUUAACAACAGAAAAAAAAAAAAAAAUCUUUAUCUAAACUCUCAUUUAGCUGAAAAUUUGUUUUAAUAUGAACUUCAAUAUUCUCUAUGAAACAAAUAGGUCCAAUAUUUAUAUAAAAAUAUAGAAACAUCAUUCUAGAUCUUUUAUCUUAAGUUAUUAGAGAAAAUGACUAUUUUUUAUUAUUUAAUAUAAUAUCGAAAUAAGAGAUUCUCAAUUUGAAUUUCAUGACUGUUUUGCAUUAUUUACCAAAGAAACAAAGUACUCUACCCAAGGAGAGAGCCUACUAUGUCACACUUAUAUCACAUCAUUAAGUAACAAGCCAAUUAAAUUUCUAUAUUUGAAAGAAAAAAGUAUAAUAAAAUUAAUUUUCUAUUAACUAUGAUGGGACAUAUAAAUCCAAAGAAAAUAAUUAAAAAAACUUCAAAUAGCACCCCUGUGGUUUCGCAGUUUUUUAUUUUAGUACCAUAUGAUUUAAAGUAUAUUAAUUUAGCAUCUUGUGGUUUUAUUUUUUUCUCUUUUUAUUAUUUUCUUUAUUAAUUUUUUUUAUUAAAUCAGUAACAAAGUUAAAAUUAAAAGUUACUGAAGUGAAUAUUUGAUAAACAUAGGUGGUGGGUAUCUGAAGUUUUUUGUAUAUAAUUUAACGAAAUAUUAACGGACGAACUGACGAAAAGAGAAAAAUAAAAUCACAGAAUACUAAAUUGAUAUAGUUUAAACCAUAAGAUAUUAAAGUGAAAAAAAUGUAAAACUAUAUGAAUAGCAUUUGAAGUUUAUUCAAAAUAAUUUUAUUAUUUGGAAUCGCCACGUCAGCAAUAUUUUCGUGCAUCUUAGAUUUUUUUUCCCAUUAGCUGUGACACACAAGCCUGUUACACGGAGGAACAGCGAAAGGAACAGAUCGUACGGCUGCGAUGCAACCAUCCCCGACACGAAAACCAGGAGGAGUGACGUCACCUUCGCCCGUGUCGGACGAAUCGUGUCGGUCGCGCGACAGGAGGGGCAUCCCGGCCGUCCGAUCGCGAUCGGGCGGCCGAUACGAGGUGGGCCCGGGGCACAAUCCCCGAGGAGGGAAGCGGACGAACCGGAAUCCAGCGGAAGCCCUGUCGGCCGGCCGGGUGGGGGUUGGCAGUCGGCACUCGCCAGUGACAGUGGCAGUGGCAGUGGCAGUUCUGUAGAUUCCUGAAAAAGUGGAACGCAUUUACUCCCCUAUUCUUUUUAGGGAAAAUUUUGUCGAUGCCCUUCUAAAACCAUCUAAUUUCAUAAAUGCCCUUUUACAAAUUGAAAUAUCAUGUAUACCUCCUCAAAUUUAAAAAACUUUCAAAAAUAGUCCUGCCAUCAAGUCUCCAUCAAUAUUAAAGUUAAUAAUAUUUAUAUUCCAACUUUACUCCUCUUAAUUAUUCAUUAGUCAAUUAAUAAUUCUAUUUCAUAAAUACCUUAUAUUAUAUUUCAAAAUUAAUUAAAUUCUAUCGAAACUAAAAAUUUAGUAAAAUUCAAUUGAUUUUAGUUUAAAAAAUUAUUGAUUUUAAUUAAAUAAAUAUUUCUAUUUGGAAUAAAUUGUAGUUAAAUUAAAUUUCAUUUUGCUUUUAUUGUCGGAAUAAGAAGAUAAUUUAUUUUAGUUAUACCUACUUUUUUUACUGCAUCGAUUGUAAAGUAAUAAAUUUUUUUAUUUGACUACUUAAUAUAGAGAAAAUUCGUCACUAUAAAUACAUUACAACUAAGAGCAUUAAUAUGCAAUCCGACCUCAAAUAAAAAAAUUAGUUAUAUUAUAAAAGAACAAACUAAAUUCUUGUAAUCAAUGGACUUUACAUGAACCAAUAAUAAUUUUAAAUAAUAAAUUAAAAAAAAAUUAGAUAAUGAAAAUUUUCACAAAUUAAGUAGUCAAAUCCAUUAAAUUUAAUACCAUUGACUAAUUUUCAUUUAAUAGUUAAUUAUUAUUAGCUAAUUAACCUAUUAAUUGAAUUUCUUUAUUAAUUGAUUACAAUAGUUGAAAACUGAAUGGAUAAAGAAAAUUUUAAAAAAUGGACCACGUACAUUUAUUUGCCCCUCAAUAGUUUGGGGGCAAAAUGGACAAUUUUAUUCUUAAACUUCAUUAUAUCAUGGUAUAAAUAAAAUUAAAAUGAGUUGAGGGUAUUUUUGAAACAAAGUAAAUAUUUGUAGGGAUAAUUUUGAUAUUUCAAAUUAUGUAAGGGCAUCUAUGAUAAUUUUGAACUUUUGAGGGGUACAAAUGAAAUUGCCCCUUUUUUUAAUUUAUUUAUCCUUUUUUAAAAAAAUAAAUUUUCUUUAUGAAUUGAAGGGAUAAUAUGAUAUUAUGAUUUAUGUUUUUUUUUUUUCUUUUGCAUUUAACCAUCUCGAAAAAAAAAAAUUCUAAUAAAUUUAUAUUUAUAUAAAGAAUCAUUUUCUUACCACGCAAGCGCUUAGGUAGUAUUAUUAAGUUGGACACGCUAAUUUAAUCAUCGUGUUUAAACACGGGAAUUGAUCAUCGUCUAACUUUUUGUAUUUUUUUUCGUUCCUAAAUAAAAAAAGAGAGAUCAGGAUAUGGAUAUGAAUAUAAUAAUUCUAUCACCGUAUUUAAACACGGUGACCGUAUUUAAACACGAUGAUUUAUUUACCGUAUUCAACUUAAAAAUUCAAACGUGACGCUUGCAUGGCAAGAAGAGAGCCAUAUGUGUAAAUAUAAAUUUGUUAGAAUCAUUUGUAAAAUUUUUGUUAAUAAAGGCUAAAUGUAAAAAAAAAAAGCCCUAUUAUCUAAUAUGCGCUUUCAAAUUCUAAAAUAUCUUAUUUAUUUUUUAAAAAAUUAAAAUAUUUUUGUUAAUUUUAAAUAAUUUGUUCUAUGGUUCAUUAAUGGAAUUGGAGUUUAGCAGAGUACUUUGAUAAUUUUAUAAUUAAUAUGAAAAUUUUAAAUAGUAAUAAAGGGUAAACAAGAAAAAGCCUCUAUGCAUAUAUAUUUUAUUCAGAAUAUGAUAAUUUACUUUUUAUUUGAAUGCAUGAAUAUCUUAUUCCGUAUAUUUUUGUGAUUGAUUAUAUUUAUCAUAUGAGAAGUGUGAUCAAAUAUUUAGAAUUAAAAAUUAUAUUCAAUUUUCAAAUUAUUAUUUUGAAUAAAAAAAUUACCUCAUAAGUGAAAUAUGUUAUAUCGCCAAAUUGCGGAUAUCAAGAUCCUAUCAAUAAGCAAAAAAAAAAAAAAAAAAAAAUCUCUCUUUGCAAUCACACAACAAAAAAUCCAAACUGAGCCAUUAAACCAUAUUCAAAUAUCAAAAUAUAACAACAUAUCACCGACUGUCCGUAGAGCAAGUGGCAAAGCUUGGUGGUUUGUACCGAGACCUAAGUUCGAAUCCUAGUUGAUUACAUUUCUAGCUAAGUUUAUUCAAAUAAAAUAAAGAAACAGAUAGCGUGCUACUACUCAAAAAUAUAUAUAUAUAUAUUUACAAACAUAUCUAAUCAUAUUCUAUUCUAAAAAUUUUCUAUUGUGCUUAUAAUUAAAAGUUAGAAGGUUAUUAAUUGUUUAAAUUAAAAUAACAUAUUCAACUUUCAAAUUAUUUUUUAAAAAAUAAAUUAUUUCAUAAACGAAAUAUGUUAUUCUCUCAAAUUCUAAAAAAUAUAUAUAUAUAUAUAUAUAGUAGGGCUACUAUGCAAUUAGGAGCACAGCAGCCCUUGUGCUCCUAACUUUCUAACCACCAUCAAGUUUGUUGGGUGGUUAGAAUGAGAGAGGAGGGAAAUAUUGAAGAGAUUUUUCUAGUACUUGUCACAUUUGCUAGACAAAAAUUAUGUGGGCAUUUGUUCCCAAACAACUUGUUUGCUAAACAAAAAUUGUGUACAGACUCUCAUCACGACUGCUCCUUUCUCUCUCCCUCUCUCUAAAAAUUCGGAGCCCACAAUUUUUUUUUCUUUUUUUUUUUUUUCAUUUCCGAGGAUUGUGAUGGGCGCCGGCAUUGUCCCCAAAUAAAUUGUUUGGAGACAUUUUUGAAACACUUUUAUAUAAGUGUCUUAUUUAUACCAAAUUGUUUUAAAAAAUCUAUUAAGACCUAAAUAUAAAGUCCAAUCCAAUCAAGAACAAAAAGUUCCUACCCAGCCCACUGGGCCCGAUUACAAAUAAAAAAACAAAGUAAAAAGAAAAAUUGAUCAUCUUCUUUCCUUUUCCUCCUUUGCCGAUGCAGUUGGCGAAAUAGGGUUUCGGCGGCUGGAGUUCGGCCGCGAGGAUCUCGCAGGGACCGUAGGGGGCUACAAUCGCCACGUAUCCCUCCGCCACAAGUAGUUGGAGUAGUAAGUGCCAAAUAUUAAGGCAGCCUUACCUAUAGCGACUCCACAUAUAGCAAUAUUUUUAAAAGGUGUCGAUAAUUUAGUCUGCAACACUUUUUUUUUUAUCUGUACUGAUAUUUAAUAGUAUCGCUAUACAUUGUCUUUGUUGUAGCGAAUGCUUGAUAAUUUACUUUAUACUUGAAUUAUUUGUCUUUCAAAUGAUUUAAAAAUAUGUGCAACAUAUAAGUAAAUAUAUGAGUCUUAUUAUUUAAAAUUCAAGUCAGAUCAGCAAUCUGCUUUUCAUAAAAGUAGUAUUUUAAAUAUUUUUUGAACUUCAAUAGUUUUUAGGUAAAAUGUUGAAACUUUUUUCACAAAUAUUUACUGUUUUUUUUUAGGAAAAACUUCAAAUACCCCCAUUUUGGUUUCACUUUUUCUCAUUUUAGUAUCCUGUGGUUUAAAGUGUAUCACGUUAGUACCCUGUGGUUUUGCACUUUUUCACUUUAGUACCCUGUGGUUUAAAGUGUAUUAACUUAGUACUAUGUGGUUUCGCACUUUCUCAUUUUAGUACCCUGUGGUUUUUAAACCACAUGGUACUAACUUAAUAUAAAAAUAAAAUCAUAUGGUACUAACUUGAUACAAAAAUAAAACUACAAAGUACUAACUUGAUACACUUUAAACCACAGAAUACUAAAGUGAGAAGUGCGAAACUACAGGGAACUAACUUGAUACACUUUAAACCACAGUAUACUAACUUGAUAUACUUUAAACUAUAGGGCACUAAAAUAAAAAAGUACGAAACCACGGGAUUUUUUUAAAGUUUUUUUUUUUUUUUACUUCUAUCUCCCGGCCUUUCAAAAUAUAUAUUUAGUUUUCUUAAAAUUUCAAAAAUAUUUUCAGAUUACGAUAUUAAUGAAAAGAAUAAAAUAACCAAAAUACUUUUAUUUGUUCUAUUAUUUUAAAAAUAUUUUAGAUAUAUUCAAUUAUAAAUUAUUAAAAGUAGAUGUAAUAUAAAAGUGGAGGUUAAGUAUCUCAAUUUGAAAUUUUAAUAAAAGAAUAAAAUAUAGAUUUUCGAUACUCAUAAAAAAUAAUAUUAAUAUUAUUAGAAAUAAAUAAAUUAAUAAUAUUCGAUGGGAAAUGACGAGGAGGGGCCCACGGGCGCUGCACCGCGCGUGCAUCUCGCUUUCGCACGUUAUUCCCCGACAACGCCUGCGAUGAUCAGAGCCGUCCGAUAGGGACUGUUACCGCCCCUGAUCAACCCACCCUCGUGAACCGAAUCCGCGUGCACCGAUGCACCGCGCUAUUAUUUUUGGGGCCUCCGUGUCCCAUCGCUGUCCCCCGCAGGAUCUAUAUAUAUAGCAGUUACAUCAUAGGAGAGAGAAAGUACAAUAAAGAUUUAAAAUUUUAAUUUUUGAGAUUGAAAAUUUAAAAAUAAAUAUUAUAAAUUAUAAAAUUAUAAAAUUUUAAAUUUGAAAUUUUAAAUUUAAAUAUGCAAAAUUUAAAAUUUUAUAAUAUAAAAUUUUAAAAUUUGAUAUAUAUGGGGAGAGAGGAGAGGGAAUGGUAGUUUAUGGUGCACUGAAAAUAGUAAGAGGACACGUGGCAAGACAGUAACAUUAGUGCAUGGACUUUAGUAUAUAGUAAUAGAUAAUAGAUUAUCUGAGUAGGGUUACUAUACUCUUAUAAGUAUAGAAUCCUUCGUACUCAUAACUUGUUUUCGAUGAUAGAGCUUCCGAAUUGACGAUCCACAUCGUAAUUUUGCGAAAUCAUAAUAAAGUCUAUCAAGCAGGUAUAAAAUGAAUGGUCAAAAUCAAACGACUUCUUAAAAAUGAAUGAUUAGAUCCUUCAAUGUAAGAUUGGAGUUAUUGAUCUUUAUCUAGAUAGUGAAUAAAAUUUUAUAUCAAAAAUUCAACCUAUAUAUUCCAAUUCUUUUACACUGUUAAACUAGCAAGUAUUCUAUACCGACUAUUAAAAAUUAUCAAUUUUAUGAUAUUUUGAUCGUAAGGUAAAUGAUGUCGAAAAAUUAUAAAAUUUUAUUUCUAGAAAUUUUAAAUGUUCUAGACAAUGUUUAACGAUAUAAAUUGUCGAUUCGGAAGCUCUAUCAUCGAAAACGACUUAUGAGUACAAGGGCGAUCGUACUUAUUAGAGUAUAGUAGCCGGACUCUAUUUAUAUUCAGUUUAUUAUAUAUUUUCUAAAAAAUAAUAAAUUUUUUUUAAAAAAGGUUAUGACGUGAUAGGUGAAUCUAAAGAUAUUAUGAGAACACCACAUCAGUAAUGCGACUGUUGUAUUCUAGAUUUUUUUUUUCUUUAUUGGUCCAGUUAUUUACGGCACGUCCAAUCGGACAGCUCAAAUCUUCUUAGAAGUAUCACGUUGCCACGUGUCGGACUCCUGUGUGUCCUCUGCGACGCUGCAUGGCCGGUUUAGUGGUUGUUAUCUGAAAUUUUAUGAAACAAAUAGUAAAAAAUCAGUUUAGUGGUUAUUUUUUGAAGUUUUAUGUAAGAAAUAGUAAAAAAUUAGGAUAAAUAUACAUUAUAUGUUUGUUUUAGUAAAAGAUAUAAUGUUGUACUUAAUUAAUUAAGAAAAUAUUUUUUGCAAUUUUAGCGGAAAAUAAAAGAGCAUUUAUCCAUAUGUUUUUUCCUUUUUUUUUCAUCAAAUAGCAUAAGACGGCCAAACAACUAAUAAAUUAUUAUCAAAUUGGGUAUUUAUAAUAAUUUUUUUUAAAAUUAGAGAAAUAUUUUUUGAUAUUGGCACUUUUAGAAAUNNNNNNNNNNNNNNNNNAUAUAAAAUUAAAGAUUGCAGGAAGGGUACGCAUAAAAUUAACCCAAGUGAGUAGGAAUUACACAAAAAGGUUGUGGAAAAAAAUAAAAAAAGAAAAAAAAAAGAAAAAGGUACUGAUCCUAAAUAAAUCACGAGCUGAGUUGAGUAUUACAAUUCUAAAUUACGCAGGACCAACCAAAAAAAUAAAAAUUCGUCACGGCGUAAAAUUUAUAGGGCCUAUAAAUUUUGAAACAUUCGACCACGGGCCUAAUAUUAUUUGUUUAAAAAUUGGAUCGGGCCGAAGGGGUCGGGCUCGAAAGCUUCGAUGUAUGGCUCACCUUGUUGGGCUCGAUCGAAAGCUUCCGAUUCUAAUUCGGGCCACAAUUGGGUCCAAUCUUGGGCCAAUGUGGCUAAAUUUGGAGCCAUUCAUGUUUCAGUGCUAAAAGAGAACCCUAACUAGUUCAAAAUAGUAAUAUAUAGCUCUUAUCGAAUCGCAUCGAAUUGAAUUCUAUUCGGAUUUGAUUCCAAAGCUGAGUAUAAAUGCACUACAAAUAGGAAAUUGGCUCGAGUCUGACUCGACCUAACUGCUGUAGUUCUAUUUCUUUGUCUAGCGUGAACGAAAAGCUGUUUAAGAUGUUUUAUAUGCUGCUUCGAAAAAGUGGCUUAUAACCAACAGAAGCACUACAUUCUGCAACAGGACCAAAUAGUCGAGAAUCCGAGCCGAGUCCCCGAACUGUGGUCUCAAUUUUGGGUCCAAUUUGAACCAUAUCAUUUAAGUUAGUUACAACUCAAAGGUGCUAGCUAAUGGGCACUGUCCAUUAGCAACAGAACCAACAUAAACACUACAUUCUGCAACAGGACCAAACAAUCGAGAAUCCAAAUCGAGUCCCCAAACUGUGGUCUCAAUUUUGCGUCCAAUUGUAAGUUAGUUACGAUUCAAAGGUGCCAGCAAGUGGACACUGUCCACACUCUCCCUAGUGCCACAAAACGACAAAAAAUGUACCUAUAAUUGGAUUGGAUUGGAUUGGAUUGGAUUGGCCCGGUCACGUGAAACCACCCGACAACGAGUCCAACCACUAGCGAGACAAACCCUUUCCAGUACGGUCCAAACCCUACGGAACAGCGUGAUCUGCUGAUCUCACCUAAGGCAGUUGACUAAAAAUUUAAUAAUUAGUAUUCAAAAUCUCAAAUUCAAAAUUUAGUUAUUUUAUAUUUCUAACUAGAUGUAAUUUAAACUCUCUCUUAUUCCCGUAGCUAAAAUAUAAGAUUGUCCUCCUAACUUUUUCUUAUUUUUUGGUGGAGAAGUAUUUAGUUACUGUCGUAUUAUUAGCACUUAUCAUUAAUUUUAAAAGUUCGAGCUGUUAGAAAUACGCAACUAAUUUACUUAAAGCAUACAGAUACAGUGCCAACAGGUCUUGAUUGUGACUCGGCCCAACCAGCCUCACUCCACUUCGAACAUAACUCGGCCUACCCAGUCUCACGCCACAGGGCAGAAUACUGGCCCAUUUAAGCUCGAACACCUGUACAUAUUUGCAGCAUGCGAGAAUAGUACCUGUGACCUUUGGUCUGAUACCACUUGUCGAAUUGUUGGCGCUUACCAUUAAUCCCAGAAGCUCGAUCUAAUAAAAAUACGCAACCAAUUCACUUAAAGCGUACAGAUACAGCGCCAACGGGCCUCAAUUGUGACUCGGCCCAACCAAUCUCAUGCCACUUCGAUCAUGACUCGACCCACCCUGCCCCACGCCAUUUCGAACACGACUCGACCAAAUAUGAUCUUCCGCUACAAGACAGGAUGCUGACCCAUUUAAGUCAACAGUUACGUGCUUCUGUUAUUGUGAGUAUUUUAUAGCAUUAAAGAAAAAAGAAAGAAAACGUUGACAGAGGAAUUGAUCGACCAUUAAGGCAAGUAAAAAAGGACCAAACGGUUGGUACAUGAGGUCUUAAAUUUGAAGCCUAAAAAUUGCUUCGCAUUUUCAGUUAAGCCAAUUUUAUUUCUAACAAAAAUAUAAACAAAAUAGAUAGCAUGGUUCCUUUCUCUCUAUGCAAUAAAAGAAAAAAAAAACAAAUAUUUGGCAAAAUUUAAACUUCUGCCCUAGAAGGUAUCAUCAAUGUUAGUUUUGCUGUCGAAAACAUUGAAAAAUCUGCUAGAUAGCCAUAGACUUAAAUUCUCAAAAAAUUCAAAUUAGCGUUUGGUUAAGUCACUAAGGCUUAGGCUUAGUUUGGUAUUGAGGUCUAUCUAACGCCAUUAGAUAAAAUAGAGUUGAGCAAAAAGCAUAUAGGGAUAUGCUUCUGCGUUCUCCGGUGGGACCGCAGAAAAUAUAUCGUAACCGACUCAUUGCGAUAUGCGGAACGCAAUAUUAUAUACGGAAACAAACAGGGCAUUUUUCCAUCGUCGUUUUUCACCGCACGUAACGCAAUCUCCCCGCAAUCCCAAACAAAUACUUUAGUUGUUGGUGGUAAAACCAAUACUUUAGUUCUCGUCAAACUUGAUUUCCACCUAACUAUAAUUACCUUAAUUCGUAAUUAUACUUAAUUAAAGAUUUCGUAUUCAAAUCCUGUUAGAAAAGUGUUGAACUAAAGGGGCAAUUGCUUAUAUAUUCUUGAAAAAUUUUCGAUUUUUUAUUUGGGUUAAAUGCAUACGCGUCUCUGUAAAUAUAGUAAAUUACAAAUAUAUCUAUGUAAAGUUUAACUUUUAUAUAUUGUCUUUGCAAAAGUUCUAAUAUUUUCAAAUAUGUCCCUUCGGUUUGUUACCGUUAUAAAAUUGUUUAUAUUUUAAGUGAAAUAUUAAUUUUACCAUCACAAAUAUGUCUCUUCAAAAGCCACAAUAGUAUAAUAUAAAAAGAGCAAAAAUAUCAAGUUAUUUUAUAAACUAACCAACCAGGGUUAAGUAUUAAACCUAUGAUUAACUAAAGUUUUAUAAUAGAUUCUAACGGUAGGGAUAUAUUUGAAAAUAUUAGGACUCCUGUAGGGCAACAUAUGAAAGUUGUACUUUGCAGGAAUACAUUUGUAAUUCACUAUAUUUGUAGAGACUUGUAUGAAAUUAAUUUUUUUUAUUUACCCUAUUUAAAGGCUAAUAUUAAAAGUAUCCCUUUACAGUUCCAAAUUCUUUCAAACCUAUCCUUAAAAUUAAAUUCUAUUAAUGAAUUGUUAAAAAUAACCAUUAUCUUUGUAAAAUUAUUAUUUUGUCUUUUCAAAUAUACUCUUUUAUCGUCACCAAGUUUUCUUAUUUGUUCUUAAAUUAGAGAAAAAAAAUAUUUUGACUUCUCUUUCAAAUAUAUUAUUCUACCAUCACCAAAUUUUUUUUUAUUUGCCCUUAAGUUAAGGACAGAAAAGAUAUUUUGAUUUUUUUAACUCCGGUAAAAAUGUAAUCCAAAUUUAACUCAAGGUGACUCAGUGGAUACUAACAUUGAAAGUAUUUUCGAAUAACAGAAAAAAAAAAAACAUUAAAAGAAAAUAUUUGAAACAAAAAAAAAUAGUAAAAAUAAAUAAGAUAUUUUAGAAGCAUUGAAAACUGUGUGAAGGCAAUUAUGUAUAUUAAAAGAUACAGGAGCCAGUUUCAAAUAUCAGAAUAAUGCGAGGACUACCAUGCAAUUUUACUCUACUCUCAUUCCCCUAUAAUAUGGCUAUAUAUUCAUGUAUGAGUAUCCACUACUCACCUCUCUCUCUCUCUCUCUCUCUCUCUCUCUCCAUUAAUGGCUACCACUCUCCUCCUCUCCCUCCUCCUCCUCCUCCUCUCUCCUCUCACCUUCUCCGUUCCCACGCCCACGCCCACGCCCACGCCGACCCCGCUGGUGCGGAGCACGUGCAACGCCACCACAUACUACGACCUCUGCGUCGCCUCCCUCUCCUCCGACCCCGCCGCCGCCGCCGCGCGCGACCCCACCGCGCUCUCCUCCAUCCUCGUCUCCCGCGCCGCCGCCGACGCCGCCAACGCCUCCGCCGCCGCCGCCUCCCUCGCCGGCGCCGCCGCCGCCGCUGAGCCCUCCGCCGCCGCGCUCCGCGCCUGCGCCGCCAAGUACGCCGCCGCGCGCGACGCCCUCGGCCGCGCGCUCGCCGCCCUCGCCGCCGCCGAGUACGACUACGCCUUCGUCCACGUCGGCGCCGCCGCCGAGUACCCCCGCGCCUGCCGCGCGCUCUUCCGGCGCCAGGCCCCGCGCCUCGCCUUCCCCGCCGAGAUCGCGCGGCGCGAGGACGCGCUCGAGCGCCUCUGCACCGACGCGCUCGACAUCAUCACGCUCCUCGGCGACUAAAGAAAUGCAGCGUAGCUGGAGAUGCAUACAAUCUACUUGAUUAUAAUACAAUACGCGGCACUGUAGUUAUAAAUAAUUUAUUUAAUUACAUACAGUCGAGAACUUAUGUUUAUAUAUUUUAUUAUUUUUUAAUAUGUAAUGAUGAGGUUAUCUUUAAUGUAAACAAAUUAUAUUUUGUGUUGAAGUUACACUUUCCAGCUUUGUGAAUUAAUUUCAAAUUUAUCAAACUAAAUACGCUGUGUAAUUAUAACUAAAUACAACUAACAUAGCUUUUAAUUAAUGGCCUAUUUGGUUCACAAUAUCUUUUGAUGCCUUAAAAUGGGAACCCUAAUAAAGUGAGCGUCGGAAUUAUAAAAUUUUAUGUUUGUUUCAUCAUAGAAAUCUGAUAUGAUAGAAAUUAAAAAUUUUUGUAAAAUUCUGUAAUUUCUUUAAACGUGGAAUUUAAAAACCCAUCUCAACACUAGGUAUCCUUUUCCGAUAAAUUUUGAUUUAAAAAGGCUAUAAUACUUUUGUCCAAAUUUUAUAUCUAUCACAAAAAUUUAUAUAAAUUGAGUAUAAAAAUUAAAUAAAGUUAUAAAUUUCCUAAAUUUAGGAGUAUUUAAAUAGAUUUAAUAUUCAAAUAGUCAUGAUUUUUAUGUGAUUAACUUAAUGUAAAUGAUAAUAUUAGUCUCCACAAAAAGAAAUAUUGUACUAAUUUUAUUAACAUAGUUGGACAAAAUCUUUGGUGGAGUCAAUACAAAAAUAAUAUAUUUUUGUGUAUUAAUUCUAAAAUAUAGAGUCCGGUUACUAUACUAUCGAUAGUACCUUGCGCUCGAUGCUAUCGAAUUUUUCGCUGCCAGAACUACUCCUUUAAUCAUUUCUACUCGUUACAUCAUAAAAUUCAACUAAUCACUCUCAUAACUCUAAGAGAUUAUUAUCAUCCUAAACCGCACAUCCAUUCAUCCAAGGGCCGAAAACCGAAUAGCAUAAUACUAUUAAUAAUAUAGUAAUCUAAUUCCUAUAUAUCAAAAAAAAAAAUUUCAUGCAACAGAAAUUCUAUAAUAUGAAUAAAUUUUUUAAAUAUUAAUUUUAAGUGAAUAAGUUAAAUCCUAUGAAUUAGGCAUGCCUCAUUGUGCCACCACAUAUGAUAUGUACUACAUUAAAUAGUUGAUAAUUUUUUGUUUUGAUAUUUAUUUAUAGUGAACAUGGUACACUUGCACACACACACUAGUUAGGUUUUUUUUUUCUCUUUGUUGAGAGACAAAAUUAGAGUACAUAUUAGAGUACAUAUUAUUAUCUCUCCAAAGUGCUUAUUUAGUCUAAGCCUAGGUUGUUGUUCUGUGUUUUUUUUUUUUCAAUCUUCUUUUUACACACUAGCUAGGUUUUUUUAAUAUUCUUUUUCACAAUGUUUCAUAAUGUUUCAUAAUGUUUCUAAUAAGUCAACCAAAAUCCGGAAUUUUCUCCCUCUGUCCCUCUCCAUCAAUUUUUUUUUAAUAAAAGACAGAGUAUCCUAGCUAGUGUAUAAUUCUUAAUUUGUCGUAAUUGUUUAGAGAAUUAUAUAACCAAAGCUCUCUUUUUCUACUCUGUUAAAUAUAAAUAUUAAAAAUAUUAUUUUUUGAUAGUUUAAUUUUUUUAAAAAAAUAUUUAUUUUAAUAAUUUAACAUGAUAUCAGAAUGAAAGCUGCAAAGUUUUAAUCCCAUCAAAUUCUUAAUAUCAUUUAUUUAUUUUUCUAUUUAAAUAGUAAAAUUAUAGCUUUUUUUUCAAUAUAUAUAUUCAUCCAAAGUGGGAGACCCAAUUCCUCAAAUUAGAACUAGGGUAAGUCAUAAAGAAAAGUUGAAAAUUUGGUGCCUACUAUUUGGCCCUACUAGCUUUUAAAUGGAAUUUUCUUAAUAUUAGGAGGAGUACUUCUCAUUGAUAGUUAGUGCUUACUAGCCUACCACAUAAGAUGCUUUAACACUUGUGUUGGCAUUUGACUCUUUGGUGGUCUCGUUGACCACUUGCAUUGACCUUGUCUUCCUUAGAUCAUAGCAAUUCUACAAAAUAAAAACCCUAAAAUACUGUAGCAUAUAUAUUUCAACUCACUGUUCGCAGGUCAAUUUGUGUUCUGCUCGAAAAUGAGCUCAAGUGCAACACUCAAAUACUCUAGCAAAUUUAAGCAGGACUGAUAAUUUAACUCAUUGUUCGCAGGUCAGGUCGUGUCCGACUCGAAAUGAAUUCAAAAUCAAUUGCCAGUGUAGUAAAUAAGACGAACAUAAUUUAGGGUCAGUUCACUCUUGUACAGCUCCUUAACAACCUUUACAUAUAAAAAUAAUUUUUUUAAAAAAAAUAAAAAAGUAAUCACUCCACCACUGGCAAGACAACCUUUAAUCGCCUACGGGGACCCAACCUGUGAAAUAUAAAGUCGUAAGGUUGACAGAUCUAAAAAGUAAGUCUACCAAAAUUAAGUUAGGGAAGAAGCCACUGGAAUGAAAAGAAUUGGUGUAGAACCUUCUAGACACAUAAACUAUAUUUUUAUAAAAAACUAAAAAUAAAAAAAUGCCACACUCUAUUUUAUAAAGGUGAAAAUAUAAAGAACUUAUCUGAACUAUAAAUCAUUUUGAGCUUGUUAUCUGAUCUUUUAAAAUUUUAAUUUUAGUAUUUUACUACUCAAUCUUUCUAUUUGUUUACUUUGAGCCAUUCAACGUCACUUUGAUUUCAAAUUCGAAUACGCCGUUUAUCUUUCAAACAAGUUAAAGAUUGGGCAAUAGUCUGCAAUCUAAUUUAAAAUGAUUCAUAGUUCAGAUAAAACAAGUAGAGGAUCGAAACCUCAACUUCUUAACUAAUUUAGAAAACCUCAAAAGGUUCAUUCAUUCACUACAAAUUAGAAACAAGCAUUAGUUCACUACACCACCACUUCCCGGUCGAACAACCAACUAAACCGGACCCUCCUGGGCCGGGCCUUCGCGGCCCGAUCCUCGGCCCGUUCCUGUACCUUCCUCAUCCUCGGGCCCAGCUCGCAUAUAAAAUCGCGGGCCCUCCGGCCCUCUCCGCUCAGUCCUCUCUCCAACUGCUGCAGUUUCCAUCUGUCGACUAAAAACUCUACUAUCCCGGCGUAGUCGCCCGCGGUGUAUACCCCGAUCUUUUGGGCCACUGCAGAGAAGUUCUCGAACAGCCGCGCGUCCCGGCCGUCGUGCAUGAGGUGCGCCGGCAUUGCGAUGCGCUUGCGCAUCAUGUCGGCGAUGGCAAUCACCGCGCCAUCCGGGUCGAGCUCCAGGAGCUGCUCCACGAUGCGCUCGUACGCGUGCUCGUGCCGCUUCUCGUCGGCGGCGAUGGUGCCGCAGAGCCGGGCCAGGACGGCGUCGCCGCGGGCCUUGGCGAGCCGGGCCGUGUUGCCGUGCGAGACGAACGUGGCCCGCUCCUGGAACGACGUGUAGACGUAGCCCAAGUAGGGGUUGUUCUCCGUGCCGGGGUCCUGAAAAACGGCCCAAAAGGCCCAAUAGUGAAUUUAUGAUUAUACUUGGGCCAGGCCCAAAAGGCCCAUUGGGCCAGAGUAACUAAGCAGUACAUUGGUAUACUCCCAUGUUAGGAAAUAGAGGGUCACUUUAUCAAUCAAUUUGAUGAGUAUUGUUUUUUACUUUUUCUAUUUUUUUAAAAAAAUUGUGUCCAUGGCAAAAUUAUGUACCGUUUAAUAGUGAACCGAUUAAGCUUUUUGACUUUAUAUAUAUCAGGAAAUUAACGGCUAAUAGUCAAAAUUUGUACUUAACACAACCCAAAAAAAUAGUCAAAAAAUUCUCUAUAAAAAAUGGGAAAAAAUUAUUGUGCUCAAAAGUCUAAACUAAGGACAUUAUUCAAACAACCUUUUCGUCAAAUAUCAUCAACAGCAUUAACUUUUUUAAAAAAAGGGAUUGUCCCCGAGCUGUUCAUAUAACUUUAAGAUUCAUGUUAUUGGUAAAUAGAAUAGAAAAUUGUUCCUAUGAAAAGACAAUCUAAUCAAACUGUCCAUCAAUUUGUGCAUUGUAUAUGAUGACCGCUUGAUUAGACUUUCUAUUUUAGGGGCUAAGCGACGUGGGUGCAUGCAUGCAUGCUCUUACGUACCAUUCCCGCGCCGACGAGGUACUGCACCGUCUUUUCGACCAUCCGCAUGUCGACGCGGCCGGAGAGGUACAGGUACUUCCCGAGCGCAUCACCGUGCCGGUUCUCCUCGGCGGUCCACGCCCGCGUCCACACCGCCCACGGGCUCGCGCUGGCCCCGGUCUCGUCCCGCACCCCGUCCAGCGUGUUGAUCAUCGUCUGGUACGUCGGCAGCGCCUCCUCCGUCACCAUGUCCCCCACAAGCACUGCAAGUAGCUCGUCGGGCAAUUGCGCCGACCGGGCCCUCAAUUCCCGAACCUGGGCCCCAAACUCCUCCGUGGGCCGGGCCGAGUCCGGCAGGAAGUCCGUGGGCUGCCAGCAUUGGUCCACGGGCUUCAGCAGCGGUAAGAGGGCCCGGCGGGCCCAACUCUCGAGCGAUUUGAACACCUCGGCCUUCUCCGGCGGCAUCGAGUGCGUCACGCUCCGUCGCACCAUCGGCGGUGCCGCCACCGCCGCAAUCUUAUUAAUUGAGAGCCGAGACACAGUUGAUGAGUCUGCAUUGCACACUACUAUUCUUACUACCGCGUUUGAAAAUAUGACCGCGUUAUGAUUUCCGUNUCGCGGCCGCCGCGGCGCUCCAAUUAAUUGAGAGCCGAGACACAGUUGAUGAGUCUGCAUUGCACACUACUAUUCUUACUACCGCGUUUGAAAAUAUGACCGCGUUAUGAUUUCCGUGUGUGUAUAUAUAUAGAGUGGGGUGCGGAAAUAAAUGACCUUAGAAAGGGCAUAAAAUUUCAAAAAAGGGUGGUGGUUUUAUGACGCUUGUGGCCGUUGGGGUAAAGGGUAUUUGCGUCAUUUCACAUAACGGAGAGGGUUUGUGACCGAGUUGUGCUUUUUUAACAAAACCAAUGGGUGCAGUGGUUUUAUGGUUCCUGUGGGUGUAACAUCCCCUUCGUGGAAACUAUCGCCUGGACAGGGUGCAUGAGCCGCACCAGUUAGAGCGCGAAACGUGGCAUGUUAACCAAUGAAAAGGGGGCGUGGGAUUUGGAAUCGGUGGGGCUGAGAAUAUCAUCGUGGCGGUCGAGUGUUUUGUUAAUUGGGGAUUAGUGGGGUGCGAUUAAUUAAGUUAACCUUUUUAGCGACGCCACCGGGUUUAAUUAAAGGGGUUUUGGCACGUGCGGAGGGGGCGGUGGUUGAGGCCGCAGCACGUGCCCCACAAGGCCCAUUUCUAGGCCCAUUAGAACAAUUUUUUUUUUUCUUCUUUACGUUUUUUUAAAAAUUUUUCAUGGGCCUGGCCCAUUGGGAAUCGUGGGCUUAGUCUUAAUGUAAACUAGCUCUUUAUUAAUUUAACGCAUUUAUAAUUUAUUGGCAUUUUGUGAAUAUAAAUAUUAAAAAAUAUAAUUUUAUGGUAGCUUAAUUUUUUAUAGAAUAAUAAUAUUUUUAUAAAAUUAAUUAUGGUAUCAAAACAUGACAGAGAGAAACCAAGCAAUUAAUAAAUAAAAAAAAUAUAUAUGAAUUUAUAACUUACACUUAUCUCAAUUGUAUAGUCAUGUUUUAUUCAUCGUGGUAAACCAUAUAUAAAUGGAAGCAGUAAAUGCGAACUCACUUUACACAUUUUCCAUCCACACUCAUUUUAUUUUAUUAUUAUUGUUAUUAUUGGGAGACGCGUACGCAAACGACUCUCCCCAUCCAUGCAUGCAAACCCUACUUUUCAUAGGAGCCAAACAAAGCCAUGUCCUUCCUAAACCCUGCGUUCAAGAAGACGAUGGCCAUUAUCCGGAACCGCCGAGCGCAGCGGCGGCCGCUCCCCUCCUACCUCUUUGCGUGACGCUUCGGCGAUCGCUUCGUGCUUCCUUUUCACUUCUUGUAGUUUGAUAUCUUCAUCGAUACAUAGUGCUACAAGUUGCUCGCCGUGGGGGCCCGGAACGACGGUCUCGUGGACGUGAACAUGGUCUUCGGAGCUCACAACCUUGUCCUCUUCGACCGCUUUCUUCUUCUCCUUCUUCUUCUUCUUUCUGAGGCAGCAGCAGAGUGCUGCUGCCAAGAAGGCAAGGAAGAAUAGCCCGCCGAGCGAGACAAACACGACGGGGGGAGUGGCAGGGGAGGGGACGGUGAGGGGGGCAGCGGCGGCGGCGGUGUCACAUGGAGGCGGAGGGGGAGCACUGGGGCCUAGGGGGGCCGGGCGUGGAGGCGCGGGCGGGGGCAGGCGGUGGAAUUGCGGGGGAGGAGGUUAUAGCUGGAGGCGGGGAGGGGGGGCCCCAUCAUGGGACGGCGGCGGCGGCGGAGGGCUUCGCUACGCGAAGGGGGAAAGACGGGGGCGGCGGGACGGAGAGGGCGGCCGAGGGGGCUUGAAAGGGAAUGUUGAGGGGGGAGGGAAGAAGGGGAAGCCAUAGUUUUGAGGGGAGGGGAUAGAAGACAUGUUGUGUUGAGUAGGAUUAGAUGCAAACUAGCUAGGGAUGAGCAAAAUGGUGUGAGUGUGUGUUGGUAUUUAUAAGAACCAAUAUAGAUAUAUAUUGACAUGUAUAUAUAUUAAUAUAUUAUAUAUGUAGUGAAGUGUGAUUUGGUUUGCAUAUGUGUAUGACUUGGCUCCCAUGCUAAGGCUUUUGUGAGAGUUGCUUCAAAUCAAUGUGUUGCUUACCUAGCAACGUGGGGAAGGCCUUUCUCUAUAUAUAGAUAUAUAAUAUAAUUUGUGUAACUAAGAAGCUUUGGAAAAGAACUACUAUACUCAUGGUCAUGAGUAUUAUUUGUUAAGGCUUUGUUUGGUUCCGGGAUAACGAAUAUUGAAAUAAAUUUUUUAUUUCUAAAAUAAUUUGCUAUUCUGAAAUAAUUAAGAUAAAAGUUAAAUUAUUUUUGAUUAAUUUUAUGAGAUAGUAGAGAAUAGUGGGAAAAAAAAUGAUCGUUUGAAUUUGAUAUAAAAUAUAAUUUAAUAAAAAUUUCUUAUAAAAAUAAUUAUUGUAAAAACAAUUUAUAAAAUAAUUCAUUAAUAAUUAUUGUAAAAAUUAUAAUAUUUAAUAAAAAUAAUUUAUUAAUAAAUUAUGAUUUAAUAAAAAUAAUUUUUAUAUAUAUAAUUUUUUAAAAUUCUACUUAAACUUAAAUUUAAUAAAAAUAAUUUAUUAUAAUAUUUAAAUANNNNNNNNNNNNNNNNNNNUAAAUAAUAUGUAUUAAUAUAAUAUUAUUAUAAUUUUAUAAUAAAAAUAAUAUAUUAUAAUAUAUAACAUAUGAUAUCUAUAUAAUUUAGUUUAAUUCGUUUUUUAAUUUUAAUAAUGUUUGAAAUUAAACUUUGGAAUAGCACUAUUCUGCCAAAAUGGUGGAAUAAUAAAUUUCAAGUUAUUCCGGAAUAGCCAGAAAUAGCAAGGUUUGACAGGAAUAAAAUAUCUUGACCAAAAAGCACUUCAUUUGGUGGAAUAGCGGGAUAACUUUUGUUAUCCCCGCUUUAUCCCCGAAUCAAAUCGGUCCUAAAGAAUAUAAAACAAUCUCUAAUCUCCAAAAUUUUAAGCUAAUAGAGAACAAUGUUUAAAUAUCUUUAUAUUUACCACUUUUUUUACGUGAUCGAGACUUGUGGACUUGAAUUAAGUGAGAGAAAAUCGACAAAGCUAGGAGUUUGGCGUUACUAGAAUUCAGAACCUCCUUCUCUGAUAUUAUAUUAAAGAAUAUGAAACAAUCGUUAUUUUUCAAAAGCUUACACUAGUAGAGAACGAUGUUUAAAUAUUUUUAUAUUUAAUAUUAUCCUCUUUUCUUUUGUUUAUUGACGAGUUCUUUGCAAAGUUUUAAAAGUUGGUACAAAAUCUACACAUUUCUUAGUUACUUUUAAGUUUACAGGAGUAUAUGAAUUCAAACAGAUCUCUAUGGGCUCAGCCCAGCUAAAAACAUCACCUUGGGCUCCUUCAACCCAAAUAAGGCCCAAUAAAAGGGGUCUUAUUAACAGCUAAAUUUGAAUUCCCCUCUAUCCCUCCCUCCCUCAAUUGCUCGGCCAUGCACUGCGCGGCGAGGACGCAACGACGUUGGCGCACCUUCAGCGGUGUCGACGGUGGCGACAAUCUCAGCUGCAGCGACGGCAACGGUCAUGGUAAUGGUUAGAACGCACAGCAAAACCGAGAAAGAAAUCGAGAGUUUAAACCAGAGAGAAUUAUCAUAUGAGCAAUCAACUUGUUGCAAUAAUCCGCUUCUAUUAGAUUACAAAUCACUAUAUGAACUUUCAGAAAGAAUGUUAAUCGCCACUAAAAUAUGUUAAAAAAAGCGAGCCAAUUACGCUUUAAUCAUCGGUUUGUGGCAGGUUAAGAUGAAGAAUAAAUGGGCCCAAUCAAUAGACAAGUUAUCAGAUUAUUGUUAGCAGGUCAAUCCAACAAACCUGGAUAUAUGUCACAAAUUUUUAAUUAAAAAUGUGGUUUACCAAAUAGAGGUGAUGAGAAACAAGGCCUACCAACUCCUGCUUUAGGUUUACCUGUUUUUGUACGGAAAUGUAUAGCAUAUUGCCCCUUUUUAUCACGAAAAUAUGAAAAAUUCAGAUAGUAUUCUAAAAUAUUGUUGAUGAGUCGAUUUUGCAUAUAUUAUAGUUGAUUAUUGGAUUAGCUUCUCAACUAUGAUCUUUAACUUAGGUAUCACUUCUGAUAUCUAGAAACAUAUAAGACUGAUUAGCUGCGAAAGACAUAAGACUGACUCGUAAACUGUUAGAACAAAUACCGCACAGAAAUCUGAUUGUGAUUUAAAUCUAACUAAAUUUUUAUUAUGAAAAUAAAUAAAUCAAUUUACAGAUGAUCGCUAAAUCCAAAUAAAUACUUAAUUGAUCCGGAAGCGUGCGAGGCAUUGCCCUAAGGCGUAUUCCCGUCCUUACGUGCGGGAUUAACCGGGAACAACACCCCAAGGUACGACCGGAAUUCCUCCUCCUGCGAGCACGAUCGUGAAGGAGAUUGACGGUGACUCUUUCAACACCCAGCGAUAAAUAAAAAAAAUUAACUUAUGAAAAAGGGAUAUCAAAGUAAAACAAAAUUUCAUCUCUUUUACUUCUCUAUAUAAUAUUCAUAUAUCAUGAACAGUAUGUAGAGGAAUAAUCUAAUAAAUAAAGAGAAUGGGUUGAACAUUGGAAUCCUCAAAGGAUUCCAAUAGUGGAAACGGUUUCCACUAUUAAUCCAUCUCAUUAAUUAAAAUAAAUAACAAUGGAUACUAAUAAAUGAGAAUAAAAGAAUUAAUAAAUAACAAUUAAAAUAAUAAUAAUAGUAAUUAAGAAAUUUGAGUAGUAAUAAUAAUGAUUAAGGGAUUUUGAAUUUUCCUCCAACAUAAACUGUAUACUAAAAUCUCAUUACGUAUCUAUUGUAUUAUCUUUUAUAAAAAGUGAUGAAUCACAUCUUAUAUUAGUUUUGCAUACGAGAGUGACUCAAUUAAUAACAUAUCCAUUACAUUAUUGUGUUACAAGAAGUGAUGAAUCACACCUUAUAUUAGGUAAGCAAGAGAGAGAGAGAGAGAGAGAGAGAGAGAGAGAGGUUGCUUUUUAAGGAUGCAACACAUGUGCUUUCACAUUUUUGAACAUUGGAUAAAUGUGAAGAUCUAUAUAUAGUAUGAGAAAGUUCAUGAAAUUCUCAAUGUGGACAACAAGUGUGUGUUCACUUACCCAGAAGCAGUACUUCUGACUAAAAAAUCUUCAACAGGAUUUUGCUACACUCAAUGGAAAUUAUGAGUUAUAAGGCCUGUGAUUUUAUAUAUAGCUCAUAUACUCAUAUUAACUUCCUACCACAAUACCGACCGUCUCUAGAGCAAGUGGCAAAAGGCUUGGUGGUUGAUACCCGAGAUCCAAGUUUGAAUCCUAGUUGAUUCACAUUUCCAGCUAAGUUUAUUUCUAAAUAAAAUAAACGAAUCGGGUAGCAUGCUACAUUUCUCUCUCAAAAACAAAAAAAAAAAAAACUUCCUACCACAACUAUCUUUAUUUGUAUGCGGAGUAAUUGUUAUUUAGUAUGACAAAAAAAAGUUGUUUCCAAAGCUAGAUAUUAAAAAUCAAUGCUAACAAAUUAAGAAAAUGUAGAUGUUCUAGAUUUCUAAUUCAUAUACACCAGGCGAUUUGAGCGUCCUUCGUUAAGGAGCAAUCAUCAGUAACGGUGGCAAUCGAACAAUUAGUGCAAAACAUGAUUGAGUGGAUAUCUUUGUCGGCUUUUGAUAGACGGUAAAUUUGAGCAAAGCCUGACCUAGGGCUAGGGUUGAGCCAGAGAAAGUUAGGUCAGCUCGAUCCUGAUGCAACAUUGAAAUAAAAGAACUCAUACAUGACCUAGAUUUUUCUGAACCUCAAUUUUUGACACUUAAGUUAGCCAAAUAAGCAGGUCCAAAUUCGAUCAUUUGACUGAGCAUGUUGGACUUGAUUUGUCGCUGUCUAAUAGAUGAUUCAAAUAAGUAAUGUGUAGAAAUUUUUUGCACAUGUACAAUUUAAACUAAAAAUGUGCUAUAGCAAAAGCACCAAGCUGCACAUGUUGAUGUGCAACUUAACCAUGCAAUGGGUGUCAUUAAAUGGAGGAGCUUCAAAUCUAGCUUGUCCAAUCAUGCCAAUGCCCAAUUUGUAAUUUGUAAAAUGGUCAAGGCCUUCACUUACAUACACCCCUUUUGAGACAUGCAUAACUCCAAUUUUACCCAAACAGUGUACAACAAAUUAAUAGAUCCCCUUUAAGAGCCUUGCUUGGUCAUACACACAAUCACUUAGAUGCAAACUCUAAGGAAGAAUCAUCUUUUUCUAAGAGAGAGGACACCUACUAUCCUCCCAAGCUAUAAGUGGAUUCCUACUAAAAAGGCUCAUUGUUGUUAUCAUACAUCUUUCCCUUCUAAGAGAACUUGUUAUCUACACCAGGUUUAUCCAUAUAUCUCAUGCACCUCAAUCAAUAUGUAACAAACAAGGUCUUUAAAUUAAAAAUUUUAGGGUGCACCAAUUAUAUUGCUGAUAUGGCAUUCCUAACCAAUCAGAUUAUUUUUCUUGAAUUUACCUAUCCCAUCAUGGUCAUUAGAUAAAUAUUUUUAUUAUACUUUUUUUUUUCAAAAAUAGAAGUAUUAUUGGCUGGUUAUUGAUUAUAUAGUAUAAGUGUGGCAUAGAGAACUUAUUCCUUUAAAUCGAGAUCUAGUAUUAUAUUUUUAUUCUACACCAACGAAAAAAGAAUACGUAUUAAAGUUAUGUAAACAUAUUAUCGAGAUAUCAAGUAGUUUCAAAAUAAACGGUUUAAAGAAAUACUCUUUAAUUUAUAAAAAAAACUAAUUUCCAUAAUUUGUGAUAAUUUUCUUUAGUAUAUAGUCCUCUUUUAAUGGUGACAUUCAUGAGAUAGAGCAACAUUAUACACACAUACAUAUUUUAAAGUAUUUUACGACUAUGCUAGUUUAGAUAAUUUUAAUUGCGCCGUUGAUACAAUUUAUAAAAGAAUAGAUCUGAGAGAGACGAACAACAAAGUUGAAGAGUUUUAUGUGCUAUGAACACUGACUGUGACUUUAUGUACUUCGUGAGAUUAUGAAUUCAUUCAAUACAAAAGACAAAGUUAAUCUCAAACAUACGAUCAAAGUACACGAUUUCUUUUUCUCGCAACUUUGACGAAAUAAACAGGUCCUAUCACCCUGUUUGGUUCGGGUGCAAGGGGUAGGAUAAAGAGUUAUCCCAACCUUUAUGCCCAAACAAAAAAAAAAGAGUGAGAUAGCUAUCCCACCUCUUAUGUGGGAAUAGCGGUGGAAACAGUUGUUCUCAUCCCUAUUUAAUUUUUUAAAAAUUUAAAUUUAAAAUUUUAAAAUUUAUAAUUUGUAAUUUUAAAUUAAAAAUUUAAUAUUUUAUAUAUUUAAGUUUUGAUUUAAUUUAAAAUUUAAAAUUUAAAACUUUAAAUUUUUGAUUUUGAGAUUUAAAAUUUUAAAUUUAAUUUUAAAUUUUUAAAAUUUAAAAAUCAGAUAUUUAAAUUUAAAAAAUUAANAGUUGUUCUCAUCCCUAUUUAAUUUUUUAAAAAUUUAAAUUUAAAAUUUUAAAAUUUAUAAUUUGUAAUUUUAAAUUAAAAAUUUAAUAUUUUAUAUAGAGCAAUUUUGCAUUUAGAUAAAAAUUAAAAUUCAAAUAAGAAGAUAAUGGACAAUAUCAUUAUUUUCUAUUUAUAACUAUUCAUUAUUUUUCUUAUUCCAUCUUAUCUAUUCAAACACUAUUUUUUUUUAUUCCCGAUAACAAUUUAAUUUUUAUCUAAAUGCAAAAUUGCUCUAUUGUAAGUUUAUAUCUAAACUUAUAACUAUUUCUGAAAUAAACAACUCUUUUUUAUAUCCGAACCAAACGAAGUCUAUAAGCAUACACGAGGUGCACGAAAUAAUUAAGAAUAUAAGGUUAAAAGUACCACUCUAUAUUAUGAACCUUUCCAUUUUUUCCCAACUACUACCCCAAACUGGGCCCCACGCACCUAUCCUCUCAAAUUUACGAAAAUACCCUCGUUCGGGAGCUAUUUAACCUCCCGCCCCAACCGACCCUUUUCCUCUUCUUCUUCCUCUGCGUCUUCUUCGUAGAGACCUCUCCUUCGCUUCUCCGCCAUUUUUCGCCCCGAGAGCAGCUCGAAACACUUCAUGGUCGGGGUUAGGGUUAGGGUUAGUGUUUCUAUCCGAAGAAGAAGAGGCGCCGGUCCGAAGGAGUCGAGCGAUCGCGCGGCGUAUCCGGUUCGAUUCCCAUGUGUUGCCCCUCUCUCUUUACCCGAUUAUCGCUGUAGAUCAUAUGAUAUUUGAGUUUUUUGGUAGAUUAUUUUGUUAUAUUGCGAAUUUAGUGAUCUCCCGAUCGAAAUGAUCCGUUUCUACUCGUUGUCGCGAUCGGAUUGAGAUAGAAAAUGUCUGAAUCCGUCGCUACGGGGCAUCUCGGAUCGGGGUGGGUGAUCUCGUGGUUUUUGAGCGAUAUGUGAAUGGGUUGUUGAGGGGGAUUUGAUCGUGGAGGCGUGUAGAAUGGUUGUGCGGAGGGCGCGGCGGCGGCGGCAGAGAUGGUGAGCGGUAGCUUUAGCCGGAGCACAUCGAUUCGCCUCACGCCGAGGAGUGUGGGGAGCCCUAGGGUUUCGUCUCAUCGGAAAUGGUGGGCGCAUGGCCCGUCGAUCAGCGCACUGGCCGUGACGUUCUUCCUGGUCUCCAUUGUUCUGGUUGUUGGAUGUGUGCUGUAUCUGUAUUUCGUUCGCUACUUGAAUCGCGAGAACUUGGUUUCCGGAUUCCCCGGUGAGGCGGAUGCGUGCGAUGUGUUUGACGGUAGCUGGGUCGCUGACGGGACGUAUCCGCUGUACAACAGUUCGGAGUGCCCCUUUGCUGAAAGAGGGUUUAAUUGUUUGGCAAAUGGGAGAAAGGAUAUGGACUAUUUGAAGUGGAGGUGGAAGCCGCGGAAUUGCGAUGUGCCCAAAUUUAAUGCACCUGAUGUCUUGGAAUGGCUUAGAGGGAAGAGGGUUGUUUUCGUUGGUGAUUCGAUGAGCCGCACGCAGUGGGAGUCUUUUAUUUGUAUGCUCAUGACCGGGGUUCGGGAUCCGCAGAGUGUUUACGAGGUCAAUGGGAAUCAGAUCUCAAAGACCAUUCGCUUCUUGGGUGUUCGGUUCCCAGAUUUCAAUUUGAGUGUGGAGUUCUUCCGGUCUGUGUUUCUUGUACAGCCGGGCCUGCCACCUUGGCACGGGCCCAAACGAGUCCAUUCAACGCUCAAGCUAGAUAAGAUGGAUGAGAUAAAUGGGAAGUGGGUUGAUUCGGAUGUCCUUAUUUUUAACUCUGGCCACUGGUGGACUCCAAGUAAAUUGUUUGACAUGUAAGUUGUUUUCUUAUUUAUUUCUCGAAUUUUUAUAUCACUUUCUGCUGGAACAGCUCAAACAGAUUUUGUCAUAGUGCAUCAGCAAUUCUGAUGUUCUACUGUGCUCAUUAAUAUGAAAUACUAUUGUUUUCCCUUUUAUCACCACAUAUCAAUAAGUUUCCGUAAAUUUAUUAGUUAUGUCAACACUAUUAGGGAUCAACCUGAAAAUCGUUGCUCUUAGCUUCAUCUAUUCGUCUUGUUUUUCUCUCUCUUUCUCUUACCUUAAUAGAUCUCAUAUGACUCAUGAUCCAUAAUUAAUAUGAUUUCUGGAUUAGGAAUGGUAAUCAUGUUGCAGAUAUUGUUCUCUAAAUCAUGUCAAGAAAAUUUGGGGAGUAAAAAUCUCCUUUUAUUAAAAUUGAUCUAUUUAUCAGAUCUUUUAAAAUAAGUUAGUAUUUUAUAUAGGCUUAUUCUUAUUGUUGCCUCGUGGGAUAUUUUACAGCCUGUUUGGAAGGAGAGAAUAGGAGAGAAAGAAGAGAAAAAUUACAAGAAAAAAGAAAGAAAAAAAUGUUCUCAUGUUUGGAUUCAAGUUUUGGGGCAGGAAACAGGAUAAUCAGGCAUAGUGCUUAGGAAAGAGAAUAAUGUUUAUUUGAUCACUUCGUUGCUUAUUUGAUUGGUUUGUGGCAUUUUGCAUGUAACUUUUUGUGGCAUUACUGCUGAUUUAAAAACUCUUAAUAAAGAGAUUAAUUUGAAUUUCCAAAUAUUGUCAGUUUUCUGCUUUACUUAUCGUAUGACUUCCCUUCACUGAUCAUCAGUAAUAAUGUUGUGUGGUUCUGAGGGAUUGUCAUAUAUGUAAUAUGCUACCUGUUUGCUGUGCCGUUUGAUUUCCUACUGUGUUCAUGGGUAGGAAUAUCUGCAGCGCAAGUUACUGUGGAAACUUUUAUAUUGUUGAACUUUUCUGAAUCAAACUUCUCGACAGGGGUUGCUAUUUCCAGGUUGGAGGAACGCUCAAGCUUGGAAUGCCUAUCAAUGCGGCCUUCAGAACGGCUUUGGACACAUGGGCAUUGUGGGUAGAAAAAAUGGUGGACAUGAACAGAACUCAUGUCUUUUUCCGGACUUUUGAGCCUUCUCACUGGAGGUGAGCAUUUGUAUCCCAAGAAGUAAUUAUUUCAGGAAAUACGUCUAAAAUGGUUUUACUGGUCACUGAAUCGUAAGAAUAUUGUUUUUGAAUAAAAACUGAGGCAAAAUUAACUGUUUUAUCUCCUUUUACCUGGCAUGCCAUCGCAGCUCUUGGGUUGACCUCCACCAGAUUUGGAUAUAUUAAAGGCUUUAUUCCCUUCUUUUUUGUGCUUAUAAUAAUGUCUAUAGAGAGUCAGAUUAUAUGAUUUAUCUUUAGGCAGUUUAAAAAUGUUAGUUUGAUUUGAGUUGGUAUUUGACCAUGGAAUAUCACUGCCACAGGAACUGAUCGCUUUAGGUAUUUUCCUAUUUUAGCAUGAUGUUAGAUGCUUGUAUUUUGUUCGCUGGUACUGAUAUAGUUACAUGCAUCCAUGCUUGGUAUGGAGAGCCAUGAACAAAAUGUAUUUGUUGUUUCCUAAAUAUCAUCAGGCAUUUAUACCAAGUAACAAACAUCAGAUACCACAAAUGGUGUCUCAUAUCAUUCUUAUUAUACGAGAUAAAUUGAAUAUACCUCUUGUAAUGAUCCAGCGGCUCAAACCAAAAACUGUGUGAAGUAACUGAACAGCCUUCCUCCGAGCUGAAGGGAAACGAUGGGAGUGAGUUCGGGGACAUCUUAGCUGACGUGACAGAGAGGAUGAGAGUUCCUGUCACCGUAUUGAAUGUGACUUCAAUGGGAGCAUCCCGGAGCGAUGCCCAUAUUGGUAUUUAUAGCCAUCCCUCCACCAUUCUCGAUUGCAGCCAUUGGUGCCUUCCUGGAGUCCCAGAUGCUUGGAAUGAGCUUGUAUUCUCGUAUUUGCUGACAGAUGGUAAGUUUCCUGGUUGUGCAUUUAUAUGCUAUUUGGAAUUUUAUUCAAGUGCUAUGGUUACUACAAAUAAAUUUGUGCAUGCCUGCCUUAUGCUGCAUGUUUUUGCAAUGCUGGUACCUGUUUGGCAUGACUCUUGGACAAGCUUCUUUCUAUGAAAAGCGGCAACUGGAAAUUUGACCGAUAAAAAAUAUAAAAGCUACUAGGCUGUGAAAGCAGAUAGUCCAAUCUGAAGCACCCGCAGCUACUAGGCCGCGAAAGCGGAUAGUCCAAUUUGAAGCAUCUGCUUUUGCUGCAGCAUUAAGCUAUAUUUGGUUAAUUGCAAUAAGAUAUUAGAACUAGUUACCUCCUAAGAAACUCUAGCCGGGCCAAACAGAUCCCUACUUGAGGAGAAGUUGCUGCCUUGACCUGCUCCGCUACGUCGGCCUUGGACCGCCCAGCGAUCGACCACAGAUCUCAUCCAUUCUUAAAAUCAUCAUCACCACCCAGCGAGUUUCAGUCUUUUCGAAAUCUGAAAGUUAUUUUCAUUUAAAGUUGUGGCGAUUGAAGGAAGUGAUGAGAUGAAGGGUACACGGCUGCGCGGCAGACCAGGUCCAGGCAAUAAUUCCUACCUGAGCAUGCAUAGUUCUUUUUAUUCCAACGUAGCGUGAAACAACCCUUAUAAAUUUGCGACGCAAGUGUUGCCUUCUCUAAAUAUGCUAGCUUACUGAUGAGCAGAAACCUUUCAUGUUGUAAUAUCCAAUGCAGCCCUUGAGCUGUUUACUCCUACGGAUUUUAUGGGGGAAAAAAAAUCAUUUUCUAGCUUACAUUGGACUGGAGUUCUUCUUCCUUUUUUUUUAUUAUUAUAUGGUGAUUAUAAGUUACCACAUUAUGCGCGGAUUACCUGUUCUUUACUGUAACAUAGCAUUUUUUAUGAUGAGUAAUUUGUGCGCUUUUUAAUUUUCUGUAGGUUGGAGAAAAAUGGUACGAUAAAAGUCAGGUUUGGUGGUUCUCUUUCUAUUUGUGCUUCCUUUUUUUUUUUCCGUUUUUCUUUUUCAAAUCAAAAGCAGCGCACUGCGAGGUAUGUUACUUUUGUCCAAUUUUUUAUAUUCUUUUUUCCCUUGAGUUCGUGAAUUAACUCCAAUGUGUAGUAUUUUGUAGCUUUAGUUUAUUUUUCCUAGAGGAAAGUGAAAUUACCGAGAUAGAUUGAUCGAUCGAUCGAUCGAUCGACCAUCUGAGGUGUAUGUAAUGGUAAUUGUUUUUAUAGAUGCCAACUUCAAUUUUGUUUUGUAUAGAAGACCUUCGUUUGAUCAAGCAAUUGAUUGAUCUGAGAUCUUGGUGCAUUUUUCCAGUUUCGUCGAAUUUUUUUGUUGCCCGGUGAAAUUUCUACGGAUGUUAUUUACAAUUUCGAUUGAACUGUUUUUCGGGUAUCUUCGUAGUGGUUAAAUACAUAAUUUUAUUUUUCUUAUUUAUGAACAUUUCUCUUGUUCUUUGAUCCGUGUCUCAUUUUUAUUUCUACAUGAAGGAAUGUGUGUUAAUUUCUAUCGUGUACUUAAAACUAGUGUCCCAAAUGAGGCCCAAAAAUUUUACAUGAUUAUUGAAUUUAUAUGUAGAAUUUUAGCGGAAUAAGUAGGAAUAUGACAAGUUGUCAUCUGAAUAAGGUAAAAAUAUUCACAACUUACUUGAAUUAUGAUUUAUUUUGAAUCGACUAUCUGGUCUUUUAAAAGUUGGAUCUUAUUAUCAGAUCUUUCGAUUUGUUUGAUUUGAGUUAGCGAGGCAUUUUGACUUCAAAUUUUAAACUAAUUAUUUAUUUUAAUAAGUUUGUAAUUAUGAGAAUUAUAUAAAGUGUACUAAUUCAAUCUAUUAGUAUAGACGUCAUAUUUAAAUUUGAAAUCUUGAAAAGCUGGAUAGUAAAAUUAAAACUUUAAAAGAUGAAAUAGUUGAUUCAAAAUAAUUUACACUUUCGGUAAGCUCUAUUAUAUAUUUUCACCUUUGAAAUAACAAUUCUAAGACUAGAUAAAAAGAGAGAUCUUUUGUUAUUAGACCUAUCUAAAUUAGUAGUUUAUUAGUUAAUUCCGUUAAUUUAUAUAAAUUUUUUCUGUUAUAUUUAGCUAAUGUCACUCGUCAACUCGUUUUCAGGGAAUCCUACAUCUAAUGUCACAGUCACUAUAAAUAUGUAGACUUUUUGGAGGCAACAACACAGUGCUUAUUUGAAAUUUAAUGUAUAAUUUUGUACGUAUACGAUCGGCUAAAAGGAACAUUGAGUUUUUUAUUUUCUUUUUUUUUGUGUUUUUUUGUGGUGCAAUUCAACUUUGUUUGUAUUUAAAUCUUCAAUGCUGAGAGCUUCACAGUCGCCGAAAUUUCAUGCGAGAUUAUAAUUUGUACUAAGCCAAUCCCAUAACCUGGUGCGACAAAUAGAUAUUAAAUCACAAGGGCAAUAUAUUUAUUUUAACUUGAUUUUAUUCCUGUGCUCUUAUCUUAGGAGAAUAUAGAUGAGAAGUAUGGUUACAAUUUUUCUAAAAUGCUGUUUGUUUUCAUGAAAUAGUUAAUGUGUUUAGUGUACAUUACACCACAAGUAUUUUUUUUUUUUUGAGGAAAAAUAAUAUGCACUCUGUCAUUUAUUUUUUUAAAAAUAAUUUAGUUGAAAAUGUGACAUCAAGUAAAUUCAACAAUUUGGGUCAUAUAUAUAUAUAUAUAUAUCGUAUAGAGAGAGAGACUGAGAGAGAGAGAGAGAGAGAGAGAGAGAGAGAGAGAGUCCGGUUGUUAUGCUAUCAAUAGCACCAAGAAGUUGGAGCUAUCAAGUUUUCUGCCGUUAGAUUAACCCCUUUGAUUAUUUUUACCCGUUAGAUUAUACUAUUCAACCAACCACCUACUUAACCCUAGGGGGCCCACAUCAUCCUAAUCGCACAUCUUUUAAUCUAAGGACGGAAAACUUAAUAGCACUAAGUUAUUAGUGCUAUUGAUAGUAUUCCAAUCUAGUUCUAUAGAGUCCGGCUGCUAUGCUAUCGAUAGCACCAAAAAGUUAAGUUUUCUGCCGUUAUAUAUAUAGUAGAACUACUAUGCUAUCGGAAGUAUAGAGAAUCUGAUAUUUUUGAUUUUCGAUUCAAGCGUUAAAAAAUCAAAAAAAUCAAAUCCUCUACGUUUUCAAUAAUAUAGUAGCUCUAUAUUUAACUAAAAUUAUGAAAUAAUUAAAUUUAAAAUUUAAAAUUUAAAAUUCUAAUUAUCAAACUUUUCACUACUGGUGCUAGAAACGGCAGUGUCAUUAUGAGACUGUUACUGAGAGGAAGACUCUCCCCUCCAGUCCAACAGACAGACAGUCCCACAUUAAAAGGUGCGGCCUCACUUUUCGGCACGACAUUUAAUUUUAAUUUUUUUUCCUUUAUUGGGCUGUUAUUAUUAUUUUAUUAUUAUUAUUAGCGCUAAUGAAAUUGAAAUGACGCCUGCUUUCAAGAACACUUUAUUAAUUUUAGCAGCAGGAAGGAUUUCCUGCCAGUAGUGGUCAUGCAAAAGUCGCACCCAGUUUUUCCACCAGAGACCUUCACCACUAAACGACAUUAUCCCCCUACUCUCGCCCUCUACUCUCCUACAUUGUUUGUGUUUUUCUCUCCCAAACCCCCCUUGUGUUACGGCAUUUUCACUUGCUACUCUGUGGUUUAUAAGACGUACAAUUUACCGCGACCCUGUGUUUCAUUUUUAAUCUUUCGCGAUACGAGCGACAGAAGCUUUUUCGGUUAAUAUUUCGUUAAAUUUAUACAAAAACAUUCAGAUAACAUCUAUAUUUACGAAUAGUCACUCCCACCGUUAGUACCUUCAAAUUUAACUUUUGUCACUGAUUUAAAAUAAUAAUAAUAAAAUUGACAAAAAAGAAAAUAAAACGAAAACCACCGGACCGGGGAGCAAAAUUGAUUCUACGUUUAAAAAAACCACACUAAGGAGCAAAAGUAAAGAAUGCACGAAACCACAGGGUUUUGAAAGUUUUCCCAAAAAAAUAAAUACACAAACAAUCGUAAGGAGGAGUAGAGGGCGAGAGUAGGGACUAGGGCGAUAUAUGCGUUUAGCUGGUGAAGGUCUUGGUGGAAAAGAACCUGGUGCGACUUUGCUGACCAACUGCCUUACUGGCAGGAACCUCCUGCUGCGAAGAAUUAAUAAAGUGUUUUUGAAAGAAAACAAAAAGCAGCGAGCGUCCAUUCACUUUCCAUUAGCCUAAAAUACAUAAUAAAUCAAUUAAAAUACAGCCCAAUAAAGAAAUAUAUUAAAAUUCAUGUCGUGUGCCGAAAAAGUGAGGCGGCACGCUUUUUAACUGUGGACUUGUCUUGUCUGUGUGGACUGGAACAGGGGACGAGUCUUCCUCUCAUUAAGCAAGCUGAUACAAAUGACAUGGCCCGCGCCGUUCUCAAGCACAGGUAGUGAGAAGUGUGAUAAUUAGAUUACAAACACCCUUUAAUUUCUUAAUAUUUUACUUAUUCGCAUAAUUUUAGUUAAAUCAUAGAGGGCUACUAUAUUGUGCUAAACAGUCAGAACCAGGAUUUGAAUUGUUUCUCCUGAUUGUUUUUAAACGCCUUGGAAUCGAAAAUAAUCAAAAAUACCGAGAUUCUUUUACUACUUCCACGAUACGUCAUACGUAAGCUCUACUAUAAUACCUAAAAAUAUCAAUUCUCUCUAUACUUCAGAUAACAUAGGUAGCUUACCUAAUUACUAUAAGGCAGAAUUUUGUAUAGCACCAACUUCUAGUGCUAUCAGAUAGCAUAAACACCGGACCUCUCUCUCGUCUCUCUCCCUCCGCGUCCCUCUCUCUCCGUCUCUUCCUGUCUCUCGUAUCCAAUCUCUCGUCGCUCUCCUCUCUAUAUAUAUAUAUUAGUAUUAUAUAUAUAUAUAUAUUAAUAUAUCAUAUAAUAUAUGACCCAAAUUUCGAAUUCUAAUGAUGAGCUUCACAUUUGUCGCACUCUAAGUUUAAUUUUAAAUUUAAAAAAAAUAAACGAUCGGUAGCAUAUUAUUUUUCUCUCUUAUUCAAAAAAAAAAAAAAUAUAGCUCGUGGUGAAUGACACCUAAACCCACAUUACACUAAUUUCACAUGAAGAAACCAACACGCAGGCAUUUUAGAAAAACAUUGUGAACCCAUACUUCUCAUCUAUCCUACUCCUAAGAUAAAGCACAGGCAAUACAAUAUCAAGGCUUAAAAUAAUAUUUGCCUCUUGAUUUAAAUCUAUGUGUCGCACCACGGUUAUGGAUUGGCUUAGCUACAAAUUUAUAGAUCCUCGCAUCAGAAAUUUCGUGAUCGACGUGUGAAGCACUCUCAGCAUUGAAGAUUAAAUACCAAACAAGUUGAAUUGCCACCAGCAAAAGAACACAAAAAAAAAAAGAAGAAAAUAAAAAGAAAAACUCAAUGUUCCGUCUUUGGCCGGNNNNNNNNNNNNNNNNNNNNNNNNNUUUUUUUUUUUUUUUUUUUUUUUUUUUUGGUAAACUUCAAAUAUCUAUCACCGGUAGUUUUGCAUUUUUUUUUCUUUUAAUACUAUGUAAUUUAAAAUAUAUCAAUUUGAUAUUCUAUGAUUUUAUUUUUUUUCUUUCUGUUUAGUUUUACCGUUAACAUUUCGUUAAAUUAUAUAUAAAAAACUUCAGAUACUAUGCCUAAAUUUAUUAAAUAUUUAUUCUAAUACCUUUUAGUUUUAAAUUUGUUACUGAUUUAACGAAAAGAAAGUAAAAAAAUAGUAUAAAGAAAAAAAUUAAACUAUAAAAUACUAAAUUAAUACACCUUAAAUUAUAGGAUACUAAAAUAAAAAAAGAAAAAACUUCAAAUACCCUCCUGUGGUUUCACAUUUUUUCACUUUGGUACCUUAUGAUUUAAAGUGUAUCAAGUUAGUACUCUGUGGUUUCAUUUUUGUAUCAAGUUAGUAUCUUGUGGUUUCAUUUUUUUCUUUUUAUUAUUCAUCUCGGGAUAUUUUUUUCAUUAAAUCAGUGACAAAGUUAAAAGUAAAAGAUACUAAAAUGAAUAUUUGAUAAAUCUAGAUAGAGUAUCUAAAUUUUUUUUUGUAUAUAAUUUAACGAAAUAUUAAACCACAGAAUACUAGAGUGAGAAGGUGCGAAACCACAGGGUACUAACCUGAUAUACUUUAAACUACAUGGUACUAAAGUGAGAAAGUGCAAAACUACAGAGUACUAAUUUGAUACACUUUAAAUCAAAUGAUACUAAAGUGAGAAAGUACGAAACCAAAAGGGGGUAAUUGAAGUUUUUCCCUAAAAAAAAUGAAACUAUAGGGAAGUUUUUUGUUGGGGCAAUUUCAUGGAUACCCCUCUCAAAGUCUAAAAUAUCAUAGAUGCCCCUAUAAAAUUUAAAAUAUUACCUAUACUCCUGUAAAUACAGAAAAUUAUCAUCAAUAUCCUUACUGUUAGUUACGUUAGCUUUACUUUACCUAUAGUUGAUUUUUUUAUUUCAACUCCCUCCUCAAAGUUUUACCGUAUUCAACUCCCCUAGAGGUAUGUAAAAAUGCAUUCUCUUGGAACUCCCAUUUAUUCAGUAAAAUUUUCAAUUGGGUAGAAAUAGGGAAAUUAUUGAUACCNNNNNNNNNNNNNNNNNNNNNNNNNNNNNNNNNNNNNNNNNNNNNNNNNNNNNNNNNNNNNNNNNNNNNNNNNNNNNNNNNNNNNNNNNNNNNNNNNNNNNNNNNNNNNNNNNNNNNNNNNNNNNNNNNNNNNNNNNNNNNNNNNNNNNNNNNNNNNNNNNNNNNNNNNNNNNNNNNNNNNNNNNNNNNNNNNNNNNNNNNNNNNNNNNNNNNNNNNNNNNNNNNNNNNNNNNNNNNNNNNNNNNNNNNNNNNNNNNNNNNNNNNNNNNNNNNNNNNNNNNNNNNNNNNNNNNNNNNNNNNNNNNNNNNNNNNNNNNNNNNNNNNNNNNNNNNNNNNNNNNNNNNNNNNNNNNNNNNNNNNNNNNNNNNNNNNNNNNNNNNNNNNNNNNNNNNNNNNNNNNNNNNNNNNNNNNNNNNNNNNNNNNNNNNNNNNNNAAAAAAUAAAAUCCCAUCGUAUGUAAAUUCAGUUAUGCGUUUGGUCUAUAUUUAAACUGAACUUGAACCGAAAUCCGAAACUAAAAACAAAACCAAAAUUAGAUAAAAACAUACUAUAUAUAAAAUAUAAUUUUUAUAUAUUUUUUAAUAAUUAAUAUAUAUUAAUGAUUUAAUUUAAUAUGUAUAUAUUAAAUACUCAAAUUUAGAUUUAUAAAAUUAUCUUGAAAUACCUAUUAGUAUUUUUAUUAUUAAGUAUUAAUAAGAGAUAAAGGGUAAAAUGGUAUUUUAAAAAUUUGACUCCGUUUCAAAUGGGACCUAACGGAUCUAAACUAAUAGAGGGCAUUUAUAAUAAUUUUUAACCUAUUGGAGGGUAUUUGUGAUAUUAUCAAUUUUAAAAAGGUAUUGAUGAAAUUAAUAGUUUCUAGAAGGGCAUCUAUGAAAUUUUUUCUUUUACAGAAAAGGCUCUUCGUCUAGAAUUUCAGUGGAUUGAGUGAAGAGAGAAAAAAAGAUUGAAAUUUUUUUUUUUUUUUUUGUUUGUUAUUUUAAUGAGAAAAAAUUCACCUUUGCACACCCACCACUAAAGGCACUAACCCCACUCCCAGUACUGCAUCAUCAUCAUCAAUCACCGUGUUUGUUUGCCCCGUGACCACUCCCUACACCCUACGUUUUUCCCACUCCCACCCCCUUUUCUUUUCCCAAUUUAACUUACACCACCACAGCGCGGCAUCACGCACGCGUACCCACAAAAGCUCCCAGAGAUAUCCACCGUAUCCAGCUUAGUUUGGCUUUAAAGUCUAACCAAUACUAGUACAGUAUUCCGUGCGAUGUAAGGAGCAGAUAAUUAAAGAAAAAAUGGAGAACAAUAAUAAAAAAAAAAAGAAAACAGUAAGUAAAGAAGCGACACUCAGGGAUGAGAUUUAUCUUGUCGAUAAAAAAAAUAUAACUCAAUAAUAAAUAGUUCGAAAAAUAUUAUUACGUGACAAAUUUAAAAAGAAUAAUAUAUAAAUAUAGAUAGAUAGAUGUAGACUAUGCUUUAUAUAUUUUUUAACUGAAUUUAUUUUUUUAAAAUAAAAAAGUAAUUUUUUCAAAAUAAUAAAAAUGAUAACGAUAACCGUGUACACAUAGUAUUAUUUUGUAAUCAAAAGGAAAGAAAGAAUACUUCAGGUAAAUUCUUUUGUUAUUAAAUAAUAUGUAUACUACUCUUUUAUAUAUAUAUAUAUAUAAUAUUAAGCUAGUGCAUAUGAAUUAUUCAUAGAUCAAAUCUUUCUUGCCUAUAAUUGAAUUAUUAAAAGCCAUAUUUGGAAUGCAAUAACUUAAGUUAGGAUGAUCAAAUUUAUACUAUAUAUAUAUGUUAAGAAUAACACUCUACACGAAUCUCAAAAUAGAAUUAAAAGCUAUCCAAUGCAUAGUUUUGAAUGUCCAAUGGAGACAAAUCUCACCAAAUUAUUCUUUUCCUUUUCUUUUAACUUUCCAAAAGUUGGGUACAUAUUUUGGUAAGCUAAAUAUGUGCAUUCAUUCACCAUCUCCAAACUUCCCAAACAGUAACACUUGAAACGCACUACAUCUCCCCCCUAAACAAGCGCAAAUCCCUCAUGAAACCUAUCAACAAUUUUUUUUAAAAAUUUUUUUUUAAUUUUUUAUAUAUAUCCAAAAGAGCCCAAUAUAAAAUUAAAUAAGAAACUCACAUUUAUUUUAUCAUAUUAUAUAGUCUAAAACACAGAAAUUUUUUUUAUAAAUAUUUAUUUUUUUAUUUUUUCUUUCUGAUUUUAAAAAAAUUUAUGUUUUAUUUCUUAAAAUUUUAAAAAUAUUUUCAGAGGAGUACGACGUUAAUGAAGAGAAUAAAAUAACUAAAUUAUUAUUAUUUUUUCUGUAAAUAAAUUAUAAAAAACGAAGGACUCAUAAACCUCCUCCCCUUAAUAAAUAAAAGUGUCAAACCCCAAAAUAUAGUACACACCAUCCUCCAACCCCCAUUAUUCAUCAUCAUCAUCUUCAUCAUCAUCAUCCAUGGCCCUCCUCCUCCUCCUCCUCUUCACCAACAUCUUCACCAUCUCCUCCUCCUCCUCCUCCUCCUCUCACCAUCACCAUCACCACCAAACCCUACCACCAUCUCCUCCAUCCUCACCCACACCUUCCACCUCCGCUUCCACCUCCCCCUCCCUCCAAAUCCUCCUCGCAUGCAACGCCACCCGUUUCCCCUCCAUCUGCGUCUCCUCCCUCUCCUCCUCCUCCUCCUCCUCCUCCACCGCUCCCGACAUCAUCUCCGCCGCCGUCUCCGCCGCCGCCGCCGCCCUCCCCGCCGCCGUCUCCGCCGCCAAAGACAUCCUCGCCGCCUCCGCCGCCUCCGUCAACCGCUCCUCCGCCGCCCGGAACUGCCUCGAGCUCCUCUCCCUCUCCUCCCGCCGCCUCUCCUCCGUCUCGCUCCCGCCGUCGUCGUUGCCGGCGGCGCGGGCGAUGGCGUCGGCGGCGCUGCUGUACCAGUACGACUGCUGGUCGGCCUACAAGUACGUGAACGACAGCCGGCAGGUGGACGCCGCCAUGGCCUUCCUCGCCGACAACCUCACCGCCCUCACCAGCAACGCCGCCUCCAUGCUCGCCGCCCUCCACCGCUUCGGCCCCGACCUCUCCCGCUGGGCCCCGCCCCAGACCGAGCGCGACGGGUACUUACAUUCCCGUCUUCUCAAAAUUCGAAACUUUAGUUGCUUCACAUUUCUAGCUUUACUCGUAUUUAGAAAAAAAAAAAAAAAGUUAAUUUUACAUAGAUCUAUGCAAAUACAUAAUGAAUAGUAAAUAUAUUUCUGCCUCGUUUGGUUAGGGGUUAAGGGGUGAAAUAAUCCCUUAACCUUCAUUUUAUUUUCAAACACUUCUAAAAAUAUUAGUGGGGUUAGCUAAUCCCACCUCAAAUGGGUUAUUUCGGAUUAGCUAACCCCACCUAACCUCAUCAAAUCCCAACCAAAUACUAUUUUCUAUUCAUAAUAAUUCACUAUCCUUCUUAUCCCACCUACUCCAACCAAACACUAUUUUUCACUAUCCUGAACUAACUCCAACCCCCAACCAAAUACGAAAAUAUUAUAAUCCCACCUUAACCCUAAACUUAACUCUAUUCCUGAAAUAACUAGUUUUUCCUUAAUCCCGAACCAAACGGUAGCAUAAAGUUUAACUUUCGUUUAUUAUUUCUUUAAAAAUUUUAAUUUUUAAAUAUGUCUGUGUCGUUAGAAUUUGAAUUUGAUAGAAAAAUUUAAUUAAUUAUAGAUUAAGUACUUAAUUUUAUUUAAUUUUUUUAUAUUUUUAAUCGUUUUAUAUUAUACUGUUAUGAUUUUUAGAGGAAUAUAUUUGUAAUGAUAAAAUUGAAAAUAUAAAUAAUUCUUUAACGGUAAUAAAUUAUAAGAACAUAUUUAAAAAUAUUAUAACUUUUGUAAAGAUAAUAUAAAGUUAAAUUUUAUGAAAAUAUAUUUAUUAUUUAUUAUGUUUGCGGGAAACUGAGAUAAAAUUAAUUUUAAAAAAUUAAAUAAAACGAAUUGUUGGCUAUUUUUUAUUUAAAAUUAAAAAAAAUAAUUGUUUUACAGAAUUUGCUUAAACAAUCGGUCAUUUUGAGCGGACUGUCCAACCUUUGAAAUUUUAAAUUCUUUUUUUUUUAACGGAUUUUUCAGUUUGUUUGAUUUAAACCGGUCAAAAAUAUUUUGACUUCAAAAUAUGAACGCGACGUUUAUUAUUUUUAUAAGUUUAGCUAGUAUACUUUAUUGAAUUUUUGUAAUCAUAAAUUUAUUAAAGUAAAAAAUUUGUUUAACUUUUAAAAUUAAAAUAUCAUUAAUUGACUCAAAUUAAAUAAAUUUAAAAAUUAAAUAAUAAAAUUAAAAUUUUAGAAAGUUGAGUAGCAAAUUGAAAAUAAUCAAUACUUCAAAUAAAUUCUAUAUAUUUCUAUCUAGCCCAGUGGAUCUUGGUCCAAACCGACUGUGACAUGUUUUGUAUUAAGAUAAAUUCCGAACUAUCUCUUACUAAAUUCGAAUAUUUGGACAACAUAGUGUUAGAAUUAAUCUUUAAAUUUUCUUUAUUUAAAGACAUUUUAAAUUUAUUUUCAUUAUCCAUCAUUUAAUGGAAUGGAAUAUUUAAUAUUUAUCGUGCAUGUGAACAGAAGUUAAGUUUUAAUUAAUUUUUAUUAUUUUCUUGGUAAUAAAAGUUGUUGUACAGAGAUAAUUAAUUAUGAUUUUACCACUUUACUUUCAUUUGGUGUCUUUAAAAUACUUUUACAUGAACCCCGUGCAUUCAUAUACUCAGUACGAGAUGCUUCAAUAAUUGAUAGAGCUGUGGUCCACAGAUGUACGAAUGUAUUGAAUUAAUGUAGUUAGUAACUUUUGACCAUCUAAAUCAAAUAAUUUACAAUAUUAGAUAGCAAAAUUAGAUUUUUUUUUUCCCCAAAGGGAUAUAUAGUAAUUUCUAAAUAAUCCUAUAUUUCAGUGCGGUCCAGAAGUGUGUUUUUAUAUUUUUAUAUUCAACAGGUACUGGCCUGGCGCAACUCACCAAUUCCGAGUCAACUCGAUCCAAGGAGGGGUGCCGACCGGGUUGAAGCCGAAUGUCACGGUUUGCAAGGAAGGGGGUUGCGAGUUCGAUUCGGUUCAGAAGGCAAUUCAGGCCGCGCCGGACUUCGGGGCCGGGCGGUUCGUGGUGUACGCGAAGGAGGGGGUGUACGAGGAGACGGUGCGGGUGCCCUUCGAGAAGACGAAGGUCGUGCUCGUCGGGGACGGGAUGGGCAAGACCGUCAUUACGGGAUCGCUCAACGUCGGCACCCCCGGCAUCUGGACCUACAACACCGCCACCGUCGGUGAGCUUCGUUUCUGCUGCUUCUGCCUUUAUUUUCAGCUGCAGUUAUAUUUCACAAAUUGUUCAAUAAUUAAAAAGAUUAAUUUCAUAUAAAUUCUUACAAAUAUAAUAAAUUACAAAUAUAUUUAUAUAAAGUUUAAUUUUUAUAUAUUAUUUCUACAAAAAUUCUGAUGUUUUUAAAUGUGUUUCUAUUCAAAAUUAGUUAAUUUUAAAUAAUAUAUUUAAUCUUAGUUAGUUAAUAAGAUGAAUUGAUAUUUUUACAACCUCUUUAAUUAAUGAUUGGGAUUUUUGGAAGAAUAUGUUUGUGAUGAUAAAAAAGUUAUUUUACUUAUAAAAUAAAUAAUAUUUUAGCGGUAACAAACUGUAGGAAUAUAUUUGAAAAAUUAAAAUUUUUACAGAAACAAUAUAUAAAAGUUGAACUUUAUAGCCCUUGUUUGGUUGGGGGUUAAGGGGUGGUGUUAGCUAACCCCCAUUUUAUCUCCAAACACCCUAAAAAAUAGGUGGGGUUAACUAACCCCACCUCAAAUAAAUUAUUCCGGGUUAGCUAAUCCCACCUAACCCCACCAAACUCCAACCAAAUACUAUUUUCUAUUCAUAAUAACCCACUAUCUUUCUUAUCACACCUACUCCAACCAAUCAUUAUCAUUCUUUAUCAAUCAUUAUCUUUUUAUCCCACCUACUCCAACCAAACACUAUUUUUCAUUAUUCUAGACUAAUUUCAACCCCAAAUCAAACACAAAAAAAUUUUAACCCCACUUUAACCUGAACUUAACCCUAUUCCUGAAAUAGCUAUUUUUUUUUUAACCCCGAACUAAACGGAAGCUAUAGAAAUAUAUUUAUAAUUUACUAUAUUUUUAGGACCGCAUAUAAAAUUAACCCUAAUUAGAAAGUUUAAAUUUCGACCCCAACCAGAAAGUACAAAUAAGAAGCUGCCAAAUAUAAUUGGGUACGUGGCGGGCAUCUAUUUGCUACUUUAUUUUUUGCAUUUUUACUAGCAAAUAAGAAGCUGCCACGUGUCUACCAAUACUGUUUGAUGUAUGCGUGUAACCACUUCUAGUUGUUGGGAUUCGAUAAAUCCGACUUUGUUGCUUGUCGGAUUCUGACUCGAUCAGAUACUUAGAUUCGGGCCGGAUUCAAAUUUAGUGCCCAAUAAAAAUUUACAGCCUCGACCCCUAAUUUUAAAAUAGGGAAAACUUCAAAAACCCUCCUGUGGUUUCAUUGUUUCUCACUUUAGUACCAUGUGGUUUAGGAGGCGUUUGGAUUGACGUAUUUGUAGAUUCAACGUAAGUCAAGUGUAGUGGUGUUUGAGUUUUUCUGAAGUGUGAUUAUUUUUUUGUUGUUUGUUUUGACGUAACUCAUACCGCCUGAAAGUUAAAUUCAAUCACUUCUGUUGUUUGUUUUGAUGUAACUUGGUGCUGGUAAAAUUAGUUUUUUGAGAUCCGUUGUUUGUUUUGAUGUAAGUAAGUGGAUCUCAUUAUCUCCUAAAUAUAGUAGUAAAUUUACCAUUAUAAAAUUUAAUCUAUUAUAUAAUUAAUUUUUUUAUUAUUAUUUAAAGAUAAUUUUAAUUUAUUAUAAAUAAGCUAAUUCUAACCCAUUAUAAAGGAAGUAGAAUUUAGGUUUUACUGUUUAAUAAAUAUUUUAGAGGAGGUUGAGUGUAGUGAAAAUCGAGUUCGGCACUUUAGAGGAGAAAGUCGAGAGUAGGUGAAGUGGAGCUCUAACGUAACUUGAGUUAUAUUAUAUUUUUCACUUAUAUCAAAACAAAUAACAGAAGUGAUAGAACUUGAGUUCCAUCACUCCACUUACACCAAAACAAACGGGCCCUUAAAGUGUAUCAAUUUGCCCUUCUGUGGUUUUGUUUUUAUCUUUUCGGUAGUUUUUUCAUUAAUAUUUCAUUAAAUUAUAUACAAAAAACUUCAGAUACCCAUUUAGAUUUAUCAAAUAUUCAUUUUAGUACCCUUUAAUUUUAACUUUAUCACUGAUUUAAGAAAAAAAAAUAAUAAAAUUGAUAAGAAAAAGAGAAAAAAGAAAUCACAAGAGGGCAAAUUGAUACAGUUUAAACCACAGGGGGGCAAAGUGAGAAACUACAAAACCGCAGGGAGGGUUUUUGAAGUUUUUCCUUCAAAAUAUAUUACUGAAGUUUGAAUUUCUGAUCUUAAAAAUAAUAAUAGUUUAAAUAAUAAUAUUUAAAAAUAAUAUUAUAAAAAAUUUGUACUAAUGGGAAUAAAUGAUGUUGUUUAUAAAUUAUAAAUGCCGUGAAAGGAAAAAAUUAAUAAAUUGAAGAGGUGGUGAAAAUGGUGAAUAUUUU